CCUUUUCUCUCUUCUUCUCUCUUAAACUUCGCUUCAACCAGACACUCCCAAUGAGAGCUGUGGCGUUUCUUUUGCUACUAUUGUGCGCCACCUGCCACAUUGCCUUAUCCUUCACCGACGGUAAGUGGCAUUUUCCUGGUUUACCUCCUCUUCUUCUUCUUCUUCUUCUUCUUCUUCUUCUUGAGAGCUGAUGGUGUCUCUGUUCCAAUGUUUUUAUCCUCCGUUGGAUUUGUUUGACUAACUUUAUUUUACGGUUGAGAUUAACGGUUAUUUGUACAUUAUGCAUUGGCACUAGGUUAGGAUCAAUGCUAGCGGUGGCCGGCAGCGCUGCUACUAGCUAGAUAAACUGACCAAAUUAACCCUACCUUUCAUGUCGAAUUCUAGUCUCAGGAAGGGGCUUAAGGGUCAUUUAGAUAGUCAUAAGUUGCAGAGGUUUCUGGCCGAGAUUCAAAAGUUGAGGGGCAAAUAUGCCUUUUUACGCUUCAAUAAUUUGAAUCUCUCGUACUGCUGCGGGGCAGAGGCGGCUCCACAUGCUCUCAGUAUGGAGAGAAAGUCUCAGCCGUCCAUGUGCUCAUAUUAAUGGCUCUGAUAUGAGCUGUGUGGGCCACUAAGUAUCUGUUUACAGUUCAGGUGAAUAGAAGUGUGUUAAAUGACAAUAUUGGCCAUUCUAGUCCCGCCAUAUGGUCGUCGGUCUCACCGUCGUAGCUUUCAGCUUCUAACGGCCUUUGGCCUGCUCGAUAACCGUAACGAAAACAUGGGUGUUAUCCUCCUUUCAAUUCCUUUGUCAAAUGUUUUCAAUUUCUUGCAAAUUUAUUGAAGCUAAAUUCCAAAUAAUACCCACUGGAAAACGCAGGACUAUUACCGAAUGGGAACUUCGAGCUGGGGCCGAAGCCAUCGGACAUGAAGGGAACGGAGGUGAUAGGCCCGCACGCCAUACCGGAAUGGGAAACAUCGGGUUUCAUCGAGUACAUAAAAGCAGGACAAAAACAAGGCGACAUGUUGCUGGUCGUCCCUGAAGGAGCCUUCGCAGUCAGGCUGGGGAACGAGGCUUCCAUAAAACAGAGAGUGAAGGUGAUCAAGGGAAUGUACUAUUCCAUUACCUUUAGUGCCGCCAGAACCUGCGCCCAGGAGGAGCGCUUGAACAUAUCAGUGGCGCCCGACUGGGGAGUCCUGCCUAUGCAAACUCUGUACAGCAGCAACGGCUGGGACUCCUACGCCUGGGCGUUCCAGGCUGAUUACGAUGUGAUCGAGAUCGUCAUACAUAACCCAGGCGUAGAGGAGGAUCCAGCUUGUGGACCGUUGAUCGAUUCCGUUGCUUUCAGGGCUCUGUAUCCUCCCAGACCUUCCAGCAGUGAGUUUUUAUGGUUUGAUUCGUUUGAAUGCAUAUAAGCAUAUUGCAUACUGCAUACACAUUAUUUAUUUUAUUUUUUUAACAUUUGGUACAAGUAUAUAGUAGUUAUGGCACUAUGGUCCCCUGCAUUAGGUCCCCCUCUUAUAUAUUGGACCACUUGUUUCGGAUUGGGGCUCAUCAUAUAACUAUUUGUGGGUAGGUUUGAAGGCCCCGUUUUCCGCUCUGCCUUAUAGGUAUUAGUCAAGGUUUGCUCAAAUCUGUGAAAUACUGUGAAGCCCAAUUAAAUUAUUGGGCUGAUCCGGUUUUGUUUUUUCACUCUUUUUGAUAAGGAACACCUUGUACAUGCAUUAUUGCAUUUCCAGGAGCUGUAAUAUGGUGCUCGAUAUCUCUCAUUUAUAACAUUUCAGACCCUUUUUUGAGGUGGGAUGAUCCCGCUUAUGUCGGGUAAUGGGUCGCCCAAAUAAUGACUCCUAAGGGUGUGAUGUAGAAUGUCAUAAAAGACACCCAUACAGGAAAAUAAUCGGUUUUUAGGUGAAAUGAUCAAAAUUUGGACCUUAGGUUGUCUCUAUGAAUCACACCCAACAAACAAAUUAAUGAGACACAAGUAUAUUUUUCGAGUGGCUAAACCUUCGUAUUCUUUCUUAAUUCAAUCAUCACAUACUUCUUUCAUUAGGGUCAUUUCAAUUUCACAUUUAGACCAAGACCCAUUUAAGACAGACAUAGAAAGUACGAGUCCGACGCCCAGAGAUCACAUUUUGUUAAAUACAUAGACACGAAGUUACCUAUAGGAUAUAGCUAUUGCUUUCAAGAGUUGUGUCAUUUAUUGGCCCAGGACUUAAGUGGUUGGCCCGUUGAAGACCUUGCAAGCAUGGUGACAAAUCGCCUUUAUGAAGUAGGCCAAAGGGUGGCAAAAAUGGCACACAUCUUCUAUGGGUGGAUAUGCAAGAAUCUGAUCAAUUAUGGUCUACUCUAGAAAAAGAAUAAUAAUAAUAAUAAAAGUUUAAGGAUCUAGCUUUUUGGAAUUAUUAAUAUUUUCAUGUCUUGAUCAUGCAGAGAACCUACUGAAAAAUGGUGGGUUUGAAGAGGGCCCAUAUGUGUUCCCCAACACAUCCUGGGGAGUUCUCAUCCCACCCAACAUUGAAGAUGAUCACUCUCCGCUCCCUGGUUGGAUGGUGGAGUCCCUCAAAGCCGUCAAGUACAUCGACUCCGACCACUUCUCCGUGCCGCAGGAGAAACGUGCGGUGGAGCUGGUGGCCGGAAAAGAGAGUGCCAUAGCCCAAGUAGCCAGAACCAUCCCUGGCAAAACAUAUGCGCUCUCAUUCUCAGUAGGAGAUGCCAGCAACUCCUGUGAAGGGUCCAUGGUGGUGGAGGCCUUCGCCGGCAGGGACACCAUCAAGGUGCCAUAUGAAUCAAAGGGCAAAGGAGGCUUCAAGCGGGCUGUUCUCCGUUUUGUAGCGGUAUCCAACCGAACCCGAAUCAUGUUCCUGAGCACAUUCUAUACCAUGAGGAGUGAUGACUAUGCCUCCCUCUGUGGACCUGUUCUUGACGAUGUGAAGCUGCUCAGCCUCCGCACUCCUCCUAGGCACAUCUAAGCCGGCGGCCAGUGUUGAUGCAAAUUAAAGGGGUGGUUUCUGUUUUGAAGCUCUGCAACUCUGCAGAAACAUCAGUUAUACUAGAAGUAUUUUUGCUAUAUGAGAAAGCGAGGUGCACUAGCUUGAGUUCUACUACAAUCUGGAAAAAAUAAAUAAAAAUAAAUAUAUAUAUAUAUAUAUAAAUACUAAUUAAUGUAACAAUAUAUAGUAUAUGGUAGGGUGUGAUUUUAUUAAGUGGUUGUGUACUUUUUUAGAAAAAUAAAUGACAAAAAAGGGAAAAAAAAAAAGAAAAAGAAAAAUUAAAGUUGUUCGUGAUAUUAAGAUCAUAUGUUUGUGUUUGGGUUCAUAAUUGUACUGAUUUUCGAGGUUUGUUUUAAUUUGAGAUACUUAAACAUGGGCAUAGCCCAAUCAUGAAUGAGUCCCAUGCAUGUAUUCAAGUUUGAAUCAAGAAUCUAUGGAUCCUACUUAAUCUACAAAUUGAGUAUUAUAUCUUCACAUUUACAAAUGGGACCAUUCUGACAUUACUUUAGCUGAGAUGCCUACUCAACUCUCUUACUAUUCGGGUGCCCAAAAUCCUAUGGUUGAACGUAGAUGAAAUAUGUGAAUCAGGUGAAAGAUUUCAAAUUGUCGAUCUUCAUGCAAUGAUUCCUGGUGAAGAAAUUACAGAAAAAAAAAAACACAGAUUUAAUGUGAUUCGAUGAAUUGCUUACGUCUACGAGAACAAGGAAGAAAACUUUCACUAUAUGUCAAAUUAGGGUUACAUAAAAUAAUAUUUAUACUAAUCAUCAGAUAAUAAAAUUCCAAAAAUGUCCAUGCAUCGUACACUCCCCUCGUUCCACUCUGUUCUACUUCGACAUUUGUCAUUUUUUUCUCUAUGUGUCUUUCUCUCAAUAUGAACCACAUACUACAACACAAAAAAAUACUCGGGCAAUGCUCAAAGAAGAUAGGAGAAAGAAGAAUACAAAAAUAAAAAUGAAGUAUACUUGGUGUCGUUCUCUUUCUCAUGCUGACUUACAAAAAUUUAAUUUCAAAACAGAGGUCACAUGAUGAUAAUGACACGAGAAUUUGGAGGGGUAGUGGUGAAAUGGGCCGCACAAUUGAUCCUACCCUUUGUAUUGGGCUUCAUUUUGCUGGAUCCAAGUUUGUCCGGAUAAUAUAAUUUCAAUAAACUGAAAUCAGCCCUUAAAGACAAGACCCAAAUUGCCAAGCCCUAAGGCACGGCUGGGUUACUGCCACGUGCAUUGCACGUGGGGUGUAAAAAAUCACAAGAAGAAUGGAAUCGGACGGUGGAGAGAGUCGCGUUAGGUUGAAGCUACCUGAGAGACGCUAAAACCCUCUUAUAGAAACCCUCGCGUUCGUGUUUGUCUCCCUCUUUCUCCUCACACUCUCUCUGCGGACGCAUUUUCACAGGGGUAAAUAUGGUGAGUUUCGUUUUCCUUUAUGUUUGUUUCUCUAGAAAAAUUUAAGGGUAUUUUCUUUUGGUUUAACAAAAAGGAAAAAAAGAAGACUUAUCCAGGACAAAUUGAGCUUUUGAAUCUUGUGAUUUAUGCUGCAUUACUUUCUGUUGAGUUGAGAUUCUGUUCUUCUUAGUCAUCAAAAUGUUAAUUGAUUUUCUCUCGUUGUCCUACCUUUCGCAAGCAAUCAAUCGUAGGAUAAGUUUGGUUCUGUGAUUCGAUCCCGUUCGAUUGAUCUAUUGAUUUUUUUUCUGUCGUAGGCUUUGCCUAAUCAGCAGACUGUUGACUACCCAAGUUUCAAGCUUGUAAUCGUCGGGGAUGGUGGAACAGGUGAUCACAAUAAAAAUUAUAUUCUUUGUUCUUCGCUGUGUUCGGUCGCUGAGAAGACCGAGGAAAAACGAAGACUUCGUUUUUUUCUUUUUUCCUUUUCAUUAUCUGGGACUUGAUGGAACAAAAACUUCCCGUCUUAAUCAAUGCAACUAUUUUGCUCGAUCGAGUUCCUUUUUUUUUUUUGCCUUUUCCUUUUCUUUAAAAAUGAAAUGCAAUGAAACAUAUUCGAAAAUUUCUUUUCCCUUUUUUCUUUCAUUCAGAAGUCAAAUACAGGGUUCGGGAUUUGAUUUUCUAUUGCCUGUAGUUAAUAUAGAACCUCACUGUAUCCAAGUUUAUUUUCCCCAUUUUGUGCAAUUGGGGUUUUCGUUGGGGUUCUUGUGAUUAUAAAACUGUAGAGCUUAUAUGGAAAAGGGAUCAAAGCCUUGGAACUCAUUUUAUGUUGUGGAAUUUAAUGCACUUUAUUUACAGUGAUUUUGCUAAUCUGAAAGUGGUUUGCCAAUGCAGGAAAAACAACAUUUGUUAAAAGACAUCUUACAGGCGAGUUUGAGAAAAAAUAUGAACGUAAGUUUGGAGAAAAUGUUAUGCUCUAAGUUUUCUAUCUUGUAUUUACUUAUCGGACUGUUUGUGAAGAUUUUCAAAGUGCCCUUCAGGCCUUAAUAGCCCAAAUGAGAGGAAUAUUCUAUUCCCAAAGCAAAAGAAAAUAGUAUAUUCUGAAUGCAAACUAAUUUUGUUUUCCUUUUUCUUUUUUAAUCAUGAUAGCAACCAUUGGUGUGGAAGUUCAUCCGCUGGAUUUCUUCACAAACUGUGGUAAGAUUAGAUUCUAUUGCUGGGACACUGCUGGGCAGGAGAAGUUUGGUGGUCUUAGAGAUGGAUAUUAGUAAGUAAUUUUACAAAUUGGUGUUGCUAGCUCAUUUUUUUACUAAAUUUUUUCUGUCCUGAACAUGUAUUUGUAUUUAAUAUAUUUGACAAUUUGAUGUUCAUAUUCAUUGCAUCACAAUAUUGUAUGUAUGAAAUCUUUUUCUUUGGUUGGCUGGUUUUUUCAAUUUGUGCUUUUGACCUUCAUACUGUUGUUAGAAUUUUGAUUAGAAUUGAAGGAUUCUUUGUUCUAUUAUAACCAUCUUAAUAUUUUUUUUUGGUGUUGCUCAUGGUGUUCUUCGCUUACAGUUGGUUGAAAUUGUUUUUCUAACUCAUUGGUGAAUGUUCAUGUGUUUAUUGAAUGUGCAUGAAGCAAUCGGAAGUUAGAAACUGUUUUUUCAUAUGAUUUCUGAUUGAUGCUAAUUUGGUAUAUUUUAGGCUUCCACAUUUGAUACCGUCGGUUUGGGUUAUUUGUUUCAUUUUAUCUUGCUGUAGAAGUUAUUGGUGAAAAAAAUGGAGAUAAGUGGUUUAUAAAACAAUUUGUAAUCAAGUGGUUUGUUUUCUUUUGAAUUGGACUACCAUGUUUGUUUGGGUGAAUUAAAAGAUUAUAUUUUUUAAGGCAGGUUGUAAUUUCAGUUUGACUGCCCAAGUUGUAUUAUUGAUAAAAUCAAUUUUAAAGGUGUGUUUCAAAUUGCUUAAAAGGUCAAGUAAAAUUUUACUUUUUGACUUCAUAAAUGUCAAAAGAAAUAUAAAUAUAAACUCUGCAUUUUGGAUAUAAUAAUUAUGGACAUUUUAGACCUGGAGGCUAGUAUAUGAUGAUGAUAUGUAUCGGUUAGGGUGUUGUUGUGGUUUGGUUGUUUUCAGGGUGGUGUUGGUAUUUGGCCCUCUUCUCUCCAUUGCCAGCCUUUUGGUGUGUACUUUCUUGCACCUCUUUGAUGGCGCUUUUUAAUAUAUUCUGUCAUUUACCUAUCAAAAAAAAAAAGAAAGAGAUGUGUAUUGAAAUCAUCAAUUAUCCAAUUAUAUCAGUUGUCAUCAAUUGCUUAUUGAAGUCAUGUUUCAGACUUUCUGCAUUUGAAGCUGAUACAUAUCAAAAUUAUCAUUUUAUAUUGCAAUUUGCCCUUGGCCAUCCAACUCUCUGUAGCCCUUCUUAUCCACUGCAAAAUCUAAAUAUCUAGCUCUUCAAGGCCCAUUAUCAAUUCAUAGUGCAAUUCUCAAUCCGCUCUGUUCAUCCAAACAUGAAAUGUCUGUAUAAUGUCAAUUUAUAUACAGACUUUGAGCCACAUGCUUCCUUUAGAUCAUUUUGUGCUAAAUAAUAGAAAUUUGGUAUUGUUCAUGCUUCACAUUGUUUUUCAGAUUUCACCUUUUUUGAGGAUCACAGCCUUUUCAAGCAAUUUGCUAAAUUUUUGUUUAAUGUGCAGCAUCCAUGGGCAAUGUGCCAUUAUCAUGUUUGAUGUUACUGCUCGCUUGACAUACAAGAAUGUUCCAACAUGGCACCGUGAUCUUUGCCGGUGUGUACAGGAAUCCUGAUUUCCUAAAUCUUAGCAAUUAUCCAUUAGUGAAGACUUAUUCUGAGCCUUAAAUCUUAUGAAGAAUUUUCUGGUUUACCAAUUACAGGGUUUGUGAAAAUAUCCCCAUUGUGCUUUGUGGUAACAAGGUUGAUGUCAAGAACAGGCAGGUGAAGGCAAAGCAGGUUACUUUCCACCGGAAGAAGAAUUUGCAGUAUUAUGAGAUAUCAGCUAAGAGCAAUUAUAAUUUUGAGAAGCCUUUUCUCUACCUCGCCAGGAAACUUGCUGGGUAAGGAAGGACUGCACUAUAAUUCCUUUAUUUUCAUAUAUUUCCAAGUAUGGAGCUUAAGGUAAUCAUCACCAAAAUCGGUGUUGUGGUGGCAGGGAUCCUAAUUUGCAUUUUGUCGAGUCUCCUGCUCUAGCUCCUCCGGAAGUUCACAUCGACUUGGCUGCACAGCAACAGUAAGCAUUUUGUGACAACCAGAACUAUCUCUUCUCAUUGUCUCUCACUCUCAAAUGCACACACAAGCACAUACGUGCUCCAGCCAGCUCUGUUUGGGAAGUGUUUUUAAGAACAGUUUUUGGAAAAUGUUUUCUUAUAUUUUGUAGAAUAAAAGUUUGUUUGCGAACCUGAAAUAUUUAAAACCUAUUUUCUAUGUUUUUUAAAUAUGUUCUAAAAGAUGUUCUCUAAAAAUAUAUUAUUUUUUGCUUUUGGGUUGUUAAUCGUGUUUUCUUACUUUUUUGUUCUUUAUAAUAAAAAACUGUUUUAAAAAACAGCUCCGAAACAAGGACUAGAUUUCUAAGUGGCCACUGGUUACAUGAUUAGUGUUUUCUUACUUUUUUGUUCUUUAUAAUAAAAAACUGUUUUAAAAAACAGCUCCGAAACAAGGACUAGAUUUCUAAGUGGCCACUGGUUACAUGAUGAACGACUAUUGUAAAACUGUGGUUUGGUUCUGAAUCAUGUGGUGGUUUUUGGCAGGCAUGAGGCUGAACUUGCUGCAGCUGCUAGUCAACCCCUUCCAGAUGACGAUGAUGAUGCGUUUGAAUAGAUGGAGGGUUGUUCCCUGUUGUCCAAUGUCUUCCCAAUUUUUCUCCCAUACAUUUAGGACUUGGUAGUUUUUUUCCCCUUUUUUUGGGCUUUUUUUGUUUCUCCCUAUAUUUUUCUCUUGUGGUGAGAUUUGAGGUGGGUGGGGUUUUUCAAUUUUUGGUUUGGUAUUGUGAGAUUUAUGCUGGUGUUUUGUGUAUGACAAAGAUUACAUAUUUGAAAUUAUGUGGACUUGCGAAUGCCCCUUUUCCCUUUUCCUUUCUAUAUAUAUCUUCGCAUAUGUGAGGCUUGUCUAUUAAUAGUAAAUUAAGUUAUUUGAUUAGAAGGGUAUUUCAAAACUCAAUUUUAAAAAUUAAUUUUUUAUACCUUAUUUUGAUAAAAAUGAUUUUAUUUUUUUCUUGUAAAAAUAACUUUUUAUUAAAAGCCUAAAGGUAUUUAUGUUCAAAAUGGGUUAUUUAUAAAAAGAAAGUGGGAUGAUUAAAUUCUUAAAUUUGAAGAUUAUUUUAUCAUUUUUAAAUAAUUAAUUCGAAUAAAUUUGUAUAUAUAUAUAUAAUAAAAAUUUGAUUUAUUUAAAUAUUUAUAAGAGUAGACUUCGGUUUAUUUUAUAAUUCAUUUUAAUUAAAACAUUAUCAAAUUUUUAUUGAUUUAUUUUAAAUAUUUAUAAUUAGUAAAUUUUGUUAAUUUAUAAUUAAAUUUAACUAAAAUGUUAUUAUUCAAAUAAUAAUAAUAUUUUCAUAUUUUAUAAUAUUCACUAGAAUAAUGCCAUUUUGUUACAAUAAUAAUUAUUGCUAUUUUAUAAAAUCAAAGAAAAUUGUAAUUACAAAACUAUUUGUUAUAUUUUCUUGAUUUUAUUUUAAUAUUAAUAUAAUUUUGGAAUAAAAAUUACUUAUUUAAAAAGGUUUUAAAAUAUCUUGUUGAAUCGUUCCACCUAUUUAUCAAAGUAGGAUGGAUAUACAGCAAUUCAUUUCUUUAUUUAAAUAUGAAAUAUGUCCAUAUAAAUAUAAAUAUUUUUUUCAAAAUUCAAAUAUCUAUUCGUUGGAUUUAAAUGUAAGAAAUGCUAUUAUGAAAAGGGCAAAAUGGGAAGGGACAGAAAUAUAGGUCGGCGCGUGGCUUGGUGCAAAGUGUAGGGCUGAGAUAGAAGCGCCGGUUUAAAGCGGGAUCUAAUCCAACGGUUGAGAGAAAUAGCGUCCAUCAAAGGCUAUAAUGAAAACACGCGGCGCCUACUUAUAUAUAUACGGCUAAAACUCCUACUACCACCGCAUUCAAAACUCAAACCUUCUUUCCAAAGCGCUCCUUGGCGGCUUCCAUACGAGAAACUCACGCUCACCCUCCAGAUGGUUUCCCCUCUCUCUCUCUCUCUCUCUGCCUGUUUGGCUGCUUUGAAAGAACAAGGAUUCGGGAUUUUCUUUUCCAUCUUCUCCCGUUUCUCAGCAACCAAACACCUUUUUUAGUCUAGACGUGUUUUUCUGAUCCGUUUUCUUUCUUCUACAGGCGCUUCCAAAUCAGCAAACUGUGGAUUACCCUAGCUUCAAGCUCGUGAUUGUCGGUGAUGGCGGAACAGGUGCACCAUUCGUUUUUUUCCUCUCUCUCUCUAUAAAAUAAAUAAAUAAACCUCGCUUCUUUUCUGCACUGGUUUCUGUUAUUUAGAUCUGAUUUUUAAAGUCCAAAACCCUAACUUUCUUUGAUUACUGUAAAAACUGCGGAAAAGAAAAGGAGAGGGGAUUUUACUUUUCUUUUCUUUUCCUAUGUUUUUUCAGCAACCAAACGGACGGUUCAAAAUGUCUACAUUUCCUGUAAAUUUUGGAAAAUUUAUUUUAAUUGUAAUGGUUGUUUGGAUUUAUGUGCAGGAAAGACUACAUUUGUGAAACGGCAUCUCACUGGAGAGUUUGAGAAGAAAUAUGAGCGUGAGAACUCUUAUGUUAAUAGAUUUAGUUUCUACAGCAAUGCAAUUUUUAUGGAUGAAUUAAGAUGUUGAUGUUUGUUGUGAAAUUGCGAAUUACAGCAACCAUUGGUGUGGAAGUUCACCCAUUGGACUUCUUCACAAACUGUGGAAAGAUCAGGUUCUAUUGCUGGGAUACAGCUGGGCAGGAAAAAUUCGGUGGGCUCAGAGAUGGAUACUAGUAUGUGUUAUCUUACUUGAGCAAUGAUGAAAUAGAUCAUUAACUCAUUAUUCUUUUGAUAUCUAGUGUUUUACUUUUAUUGUAUUUCCCUAAUCCAGUGGUUUCAAGGGUUAUCGCAUCUUUCAAUGUUGAUACUGCUCUCUCUCAUAUGUUUCACAUUGUGGCUCAUUAUUUGUACGUCUGUUAAAAUUUUGUAAUAUUUUUAAAUGGCGAAAUUUUAAUGUUUUCUCUCCUUCCAGUGUUUGAAAAGCAUAUCCUUGAAAUCAUGGUUGAAAAUCUGGAGUUGCUGUUGUUCUUGCAACAUAAUAGUUAACUUGUUUGGAUGCCUUUGCUCAUGUCCCUUCGGUCAUGUCAUGUAAACUCUUUCAUUAAAGUUCCUAUUGGAGAGUUCUUUUUUUUUUUUGUCAUAUGCGGCAGUGUGUUCUUACAAUCUCAUUAAUGGACAGCCUCCUCGAUCAGUACAAGCACAAAGAAUUUCUUUUUGCUGGUUUUGUUUUUGACUGAAACAAACAAAAGCCUUUCAAUAGUUUGAAGUCAGAGAAGGCGCCUUUCAAUUUCUCAAUGUUUGAUAGGCAAUACCAUAAUAGAAUGUUACUUUUUCUUCCUUGAUUCUAUACUUCUAUCAUGCUCUGAGAAUACAUUAAACUGAAAUUAAACAACAGUAUCUCUGUCAUGUCUCUGAUUGUGAUGGAAGAUCCUGAUGUUGAUGUAGAGAUUUAAAAUUGAUUUUUGAUGUGUAGUUCUAUGAUUCCAUUAUGAGAUCAAAGGUUCCAAUAAUUUGUCUUACAUAAAAGGUUGGGACUUUCAAGGAUGAUAUGCAACCAUAUCCCUACAUUUGAUUGUAAUAGAAGAUCCUGAUGUUGGCAUAGAGAUUUAUAACUUAUUUGUGGUCUAUAUUUCUAUGAUUGCAAUGUGAGACUCAAAGGUUCAUUCCAUUUUGUUGUGUUAUAUGUUGGACAUGAUUUUAGUUUGUUAUGUCCUCAGUUUUAUUUGUUGAUCACUGGAGGUGCCAUGUGACACCUAACAGAAAUGUAUUCAAAUUCUGAAAAGGAAACAAGUGAACUCUAUAUAGGGAAUCCUACUGCAAGGGAAUAUUUUUCUUUACGGCUUUCUAAGAUAUGUUUGUUAAAAAGUUGAAUUCCUUUCAAGUUAAAAAUCUUUUGUUCAUCAAAACUCAACUGGGAGAAUUUUCCGAUGUUCUAUUGAAAUUGUUAUUUUUUUUCUUUACGUACCUGUUACCUGUGAGUUCAUGAUCGCUUCUGCAUGGUGCUUGAUGUUACAAAGUUUAUAUGUCAAUACAUACAUGUUCCAAGCCUUCUAUGUCUUUGUAUGUUCCCCACUUAUCAGGAGUUGGUCUCAUGUUUAUUGCAUGUGCUUUUUUGCCUUUAAAAUCUUAUCAUGCUUCUAAGUGGUAAUAUUUGAUUUUCUGUUUGUGCAGUAUUCAUGGACAGUGUGCCAUCAUCAUGUUUGAUGUCACUGCUCGUCUGACAUACAAAAAUGUUCCAACAUGGCAUCGGGAUCUCUGCAGGUGCACAAAUGGAGCCAUUCUUUUCUUUUUCCUCCUCCUCCUUCUCCUCAUCAAAACUGCCAUCACUUGCCUUCUAUUUUCUCCUAUAUUCUGUGGUGGUAGUGUUCUUACUGGCAAUUAUUUCUGCUGUAUUUAGGGUGUGCGAGAAUAUUCCAAUUGUUUUAUGUGGAAACAAGGUGGAUGUGAAAAAUAGGCAGGUCAAAGCAAAGCAGGUUACUUUCCACAGGAAAAAGAAUCUCCAGUACUAUGAAAUUUCUGCAAAGAGCAAUUAUAACUUUGAGAAGCCCUUCUUGUACCUUGCUCGAAAACUUGCAGGGUAAUUUUUUUGAAACCUUUUCUAAUUAUUGCUUUCAUACCAGUUUGGGCUUAGUGCCUUGAUGCUUUUGUUUUCCCUUUUGGCUAAGACCAUACUUGGUUUAUUGCUGCCUGCAGAGAUGUCAAUCUCCACUUUGUUGAGUCACCUGCUCUUGCUCCUCCUGAAGUUCAAAUUGAUAUGGCUGCACAAGCUCAGUAAGUGAUUCAUACCAUUUUUCUUUUAUGAAACAGUCCUUGUGAACCUUCUUACCUGCUAGAUCCACUGAGAGAAAAAACUUCUAAAUGUAAAUUUUUGCUGUCAGUAUGUGGGUGAUAAUCAUGCCUUGAAAUUACUUGAGGAAAACACAAUAACAUAUUAGUAGCUUGGUGGUUUGUUGAUGACCGCAUAAAUCCAAUUCAAGAAAUUAUGUUGUAGCUUAAGAUUAUCUGGGGAAUUUCUAACUAUUGGAAGCAAUAAUCCAUCUUUAAACACAUUGGCCAUUUGGGUUAGAGUUUUGAUUUUGAUAUUGUACCCUACCAAGACUACCAGCAUCACUGCCAUAGAUUAUGAAAAAAUUUCCAGCUAAUAUGCAAUAUUUAGCAAUUUUUUUAUGGAGUUACGUGGAAAUUUCUUGCUAAGACUAACUAUUUUGGUGAUUUUGUUUCAGCCAUGAAGCAGAGUUGGCAGCAGCCGCAGCACAACCACUUCCUGAUGAUGAUGAUGACACGUUUGAGUAGUGGGGAUUUGGCCGCCCAAGCUUGUGUUUGCUUGUCUCGCCAAACAAAAAUGAGAGAAACUGUUGCGAUGUUUGCUAUUAUUGCCCAUCAACAUGUUUUGGUUGAGAAUUUGUUCCUGCAAUGUGCCUCAGUUUUCCAGUUGAAAUCGAAGGGUGGGGGGUUGUACUAUGAUGAGAUUCAAUGUCCAGCUUCUUCAUUUAGAUAUCUAGAAUCUUGUUUUUCAUUUCAUGCAUGUUGAAUGUCAGGGCGGAGGUGUACUGUCUUGCUUGCUCCUCUAGUUCUGAAGUUAGAAAGGAGUUUUCUUACUUUUCCUUUCAUCAUUUGGUGUUAUUGUCCAAUAUCCCUUUCAUCAUUUUUAGCAUUAUCAUCAUCUCCAUCGUUGGUUCUUUUUACUCUUAAACCAUCAUAACCAAAAUCCUAAAAUUAUAAUUUUAAAAAAUCACAAACAAAAUUGAAGCAAUAUAACAUUAAGAAGCUUUCAAUUGAAUUGUAUAUAAACCAAAAUGAAAAUUAGGUAUCUAUAGAAAAAAUUCUGAUCAAACAAACCCUUGAAUGAUCAUAAAGCCAUUAUAAUUCAAUUCUACCUGUUGGAUCAAAGUUUGGUUGAAAUCUUAUGGUUAUAUCUUCAUCUAACAGUAGGAAGCACUUCCCUACAUAUGGAUUGAAUUUAAAACACAUGGAAAAAUUUUCAACCAUUGGAUCAAGUUAUUGAAGAUGAUAGAAAUAAUUGUAUAUCCCAAAAAAAUCGCCAAACUACCAGCCCAUCUUUUGUUGACUUGUGUGAGAAAUUUUCUAACAUUUUGGUCCAAGAUAAUUGAUGAAAAUAUCAACAAUCAUAGAUAUAUCCAUACUUUAAUUUUACGGAUAUAUUAGAGAUAUAUCAAUAGAUAUUUUAAAAAAAGAAAUUCGAUAAACCAUGAUCAAAACUCAUAUAAAUAUAAGAAAAAUAUUAUAACAAUGUAAUUAGAAAUAUAAUAGACAUUUUAAAAUUGUUUUAUUGAAAAAUUUGAUAUAUGUAUGAUAUAAUUUAUUAUAUUUGAUAAUAAUAUCAUAUGAAUUAAUAAAAAAAAUAUGAAUUUUGUAAAUGUGCAUUUAUUAUUAAAUUACAUCAAAUAUUAUUUCAUAAUAAUAUUAUGAUAUUAAUUAUAAUAUGUCUAAUUUUAAAAUUUAUUUAAUAUUAAAACAAUGAUUCAUUUAAUUCAAUUGUAUUAAAUGAAAUAAAAUAAAUGAUAAUAUAUGUAUAUUUUUUUAAAAAAAAUAUUUAUAUUCCUUAUAUUUAAUUAAUAUAUAAAUAAUAUUAAAAAAAAAAAGCUCAAGAAAAUUAUCACCAUAAUUUUUAUAUUUUUAGUGUUCAAUUAAAUUAAAUUAAAUUUAAAAAUAAAAUAAUUAAAACUAAUUUGUUUAUUAUAACAUUUUGUUUUUAUCAGUGUUGGUAUAUAUUAAUUCUAGUGCACAUCAUGUUAUGAGUAGCCAGGCAGCCCAAUGGUGAGUGGGGGUCUCUAAAGGCUUGUUUGGGCAGCUGCAAUUCAAAAUUUGAAUUCUCUUCAUUUGAAUUUUGACCGGGCAGCCCCUAAAGAAUCUUUAGAUCAACGCAGGGAAGCUCAAAGCCGUCGGAUCAGCGGACCAAGGAAGUAGGGAUAGAGCGCCGUUUUCACAAAAAAAAAAAUAAUAAUAAUAAAAUUGCCCAUAAAUCGCCAAAUUUUCACAAGAAAUUUUGACGAAAUUUCAUCCAUUUUUUCCGAAAUUUUGAUCUAUGACGGUAACCAUGGAGGAAAAUAUCGGGAUAUAUCGGCGAUAUAUCGCCGAUAUAUCGUGUAUCGGGAGGAGUCGACACGAUAUUUCAUGGAGAAAAAUCGAAGAGAAGAUAUUUCCGUAAAUAUCGUCAAAAUAUCGGCGAUAUAUCGCCGAUAUAUCGGUUCGGGGAGAUAUAUCGAAGAUUUUUUCAAAAAAUCUCCUCUGGUGGCAAAAAAUCGGUGAUAUAUCGGUGAUAUAUCGGAGAUAUAUCGGUGAUAUAUCACUGAUUUUUUGGUGAUAUUUCCCCUCCUUCAUGCAACAUGAUCUGACGGCUCAGAUCACGCCUGUAUUGAUCCGACGGUCUAGAUGUGAUUCCAAUGGUAAUAUGGCGAUCCAACGGCCCGAUUGCUCCCAGUUUUUUAUCCAACGGCUAAAAUUGAUUUUCAACAGUAAAUUAAUGUUCCAACGGCUAUUUUGGCCCAAAUUUCUUCUAUAAAUAACCCAAAUUUCAUCUAUUUCAUCCAUUUUUGCUUUCAUUCUUCAUUUGCUCUCUCAUUACUCCAAUUUUUAUUAAGGUUGCUCAAUUAUUUAAUUAUUUUAAGGUAUAUUUGUUUUAAAUUAUAAUUAAUUUUAUUUGCAAUUGUAAUUAAUUCAUGUAUUUUCAAUUAAUUAGUAUGUUUGCAAUAUGGAUGAUUUAAUGCUAUUUUUACAUUCAAUUGUAAUUAAUUUUUAUAUUUUUAUUGAAUUAACUUAGGUUGAUUUGAUUAUUUAAUUAUAAAUUGAUAUGUUUAUUUUAGAUGAUUAUUUGUGAUUUAUUUUCACAUUUAGAAUUAAAUUAAACUAGUUAACUUAGCUAAAUUAUUUAAUUAAUUUAAUUAACAUGAAAUAGUAUAUUUUGAAUAUGAAAUAUGUUUAUUUAAUGAAUUUAAUGUGUACAAAUUAUUGAUAUUUAAUUAAAUGAAAUAUUUUAUGUGACUUUAUAAUGAGAACAAUUACAAAAUUAACAUUUCUUAUAGAUCGACAUGAUGUAAUUACAUCUAAUAUCGCAAAUUAUAUCAUAUAUAUAUCAAAUUUUUCAAUAAAACAACUUUAAAAUGUCAAUUAUACUUCUAAUUAUAUUAUUAUGAGGUUUUUCUUGCAUUUCCAUGAGUUUUUAACAAUUUUAAGUCUACCGAUAUUUUUUUCCAGAAUAUCCGCCGAUAUAUCUCCGAUAUAUCCGAUAUAUCCGUAAAAUCGAAGUACCGAUAUAUCCGUGAUUACCGAUAUUUUCUUCCAUGACGGUAACAACCAUGGGUUUGUUAUAUCCUCCUUUAUGUGAUUAUUUUAAAUUUUUUUGUCAAAUUCAAAUCUUAUUAAAAAAUUACGUUUAUUUUUUUUUUACUAAAGGCAAUUUUAAUAACCAUGGUUACAAGGCAAAAUUACAUAAUGCCCAAUCAUGAGGUAAUUCAAAUCUGAUAAAAAAAAUUAUGUUUAUUUUUUCAUUUUUAAAUUAUCUUUAUCUUAUUAAAUUACUUUUAAAUUUGAUUUAAAUAAUUUAUUAAAAGUAUUUCAUAAUAAACACACUGACGAUGUUUCCUUUACGUAUUUUACAAAUUACAAACUGCAAAUCUUUAAGCUUUAUAAAAAUUAACAAAGCAUUUCUUAGAUUUUCGUUUUCGUUGCUCUAAGCUUCAGUUUUUCAUAUAUAUAUAUAUAUAUAUAUAUAUAUAUAUAUAUAUAUAUAUAUAUAUAUAUAUAUAUAUAUAUAUUAAUUUAUAAAAUAAUAAUACGAAAAAAUUAAAUUGAAAAAAAAAAAAAACAGAGGAUAGUUUUGUCACUAACCCACAUGCAGGACAUUUUUUUAUUAAGAAACCUUGAAAUGGGCGUCACAACUCUUCCCAAUUGCCGUCCCAUGUAAGUGCGUCAGAGAUGGAAAAUACAGCCGGACAAUAUGAAGCUCGCAAUUUCCACAAAUAGUAAAUGAUAACAGAGUCAAAUGCAGUCUACCCACCAAUGCCUUCCAAAACCCAGGGAAAAAAAAGAAACUAGAAAAGAUAAAAUCCAGACUAAACAACAUGUAACAGAUCAAAAACAGUUAAAGAGGGCUGAAUAUACCACCGGUCUCACAAGACUUAAGGCAUCGAGGGAUCUCCUCUUCAUGGUCAUUCCUCAAUAAUAGGAUAGAGGUGCAGCAACUCAUCUAUUACCAAGUCUUCAAUGAACCAAUAAUAGCCUCAAGGUUUUCUUCUUAUGGCAAAUUUUCCAGAAAAGUAUCAUCAGAAUCACAAAUACAAAAACCUUGUGCUUAAUCAUCUGACCAAUUGUCAUUGACUGAUCCAAUGGAAUUGCCUUUCAGGUUUUUCAUGAUCACUACAAUUUGAAAGUAUCACCUCUGCCCCAACCUUGUAAAUACGUGUCUCAAGGUCCUCUUUCACCCUGUUCAACCACUAAAAAUGGUUACCUAUAGAGCAGUAACAACAGUAAAUAAAAGAAACAAAUUAUGAAAGAAAAAAAUGAAAGAGUGAGCCAUUUAUAAAUUGUCUUACAAAAAUCAAAAUAGACCAUAAGAACUAUUCAGGGUUCUUAGCAGACAGAACUUUACCAAUUAACUAGGAAGGAGGUCAAGCUUUUUGAGAAUCAAAAAACAUAUGAUCCUGUUGAAUCUGAAUAAUUCAGAUCCUAGCAAAACAAAAAAAUAAAAAAACAAACAAAAAGGAGAAAAGAAAAGAAAAGAGGAAGCAUUAAAAUGUGAUCACAUUUCAAGUAGGUGAAACUACUAAAUAAAAAUUGUAACCAUUUUCUGUCACAUAUAUAUAUUUGAUAACGCGCACCUCAACUAAUCCCAUGGAGCCCUGAAGCUAACGACCAGACAAUCCUCCAGUGGCCCUGAGGGGACUCGAACUCGUGACCAUUGGGGAGCAAACCCAAGACCGGACCAACUGAGCUAUCCCUCAGGGUUCAUUUUCUGUCAUAUAUCACACAAGGUUGGUUUAACCGCAAGCAGGAGAAAAUAUCUAGUGGUAGUAUACAUUUUAUCCAUUACACUCAGAGGCAUCAAUCCAUCUCUACAAAACAAAUUUUAGAUGCAACAAAUAAAAUGAAUUGAAAUCCUAUAAAUAAUAUAAUAAUAAAAGGGAAAAGAACAUAACAAAAAGGAAAAGAAUACAAAUCACCAUAGUGGAAAGAAUACAAAUAACCAAAGGGAAGAUGAACCAUAAUCAACCUACUGCAGCAACUACCCCACAGCCAAUUCCUUCCGACCCAAUAAAUAAAUAAAUAUUGUAUAGUAAGUUGCAUGUAAGAAAAGAUACAAAUGUGAGGCCUGAUAUUGUGAUAUAUAACAAAAUGGUAAAAAGCAUGAAGAUCCUGUGUAAUAUGAUUGUUUGGAGAAAACACUAAUAAUUCCACAAAAACUGGUUGAAAUUAUGUAAAUUCUACAUCAUAGAGACAAGAAAAUUGCACACAAUCUAGGCAACCUUGGUAUUGUUUUUUAACAUGAUUAACAAGCCUGUAGUGACAUUCUUUCAGACACCAGCCAAUAGGUACUAUGACUUAGAUUAACCACUCAGCAGUUUGCUUCACUUCCCCCAAAAAAUUAUGAAGUAAAGAAAUAUCCCUCAACCAAAACUUAGGCACUGAGCAGCUUCUUCCCUAGAUGACUACAAGGAACUUACUUAGCCCCCACAAAACCAGCUAUCCCAGGCAAUGUUUUUCCCCUCUUUUGUAAAUUUCCUCAUUCAAGGAUAAAGUGAGUUCCUGAAUCAAUUUUAAAAUUGUAUGGUCAUCCCCUCAUAACACAUCCCAGGGAAUUCAAUAGUUCUUGGGUAAAUAUCACAGAUAUUGUACUUUUCUUGAUUAGGUUGUGAAAUUUCUAAAUUAAUCUACACAUUUUGAAUGAUUAUAUACUCCAAUGGCAUGCAUAGCUAUUUUUUUAAUAGGUAACAUUUUCUUUUUCCUAUGGAAUCAAACCUGGAACCUUCCCAUAUCCCUAUUGCAACCACUUGCUACUUGAGAAUAAGUUGCAUAGCUAUUCUCACCCUGGGUUUCAAUCUUGAAUUUCCCAAUGUGUUCCAUCUGUCAGAACAAAAACAAACAUCCUCCCUCCCUCAUCUAAUCAUCACAAACACCCACAAAUUAAAGGGUGUUUUACUGAGUGUAUUAACACUGAGUUCUGACAAGCAAAGAAAACAUUAAAUGUUAUAAUAGUAUGGGCCAAGACACAAAUAAACAGAAAACAGGGACAAUGCAAGAAAUACUGAAAAUUGUUUAGAACUCCCCAAAGCAAUUGUGAAUAUGGAUUUUAACAAGUUAGGACGACAGUACAGGAUUUUUUUUCCUUUUCUAUUCUUCUCACUAACAUAUACAGUUGGUAUAAGGAUUCUCAUAGCAUAUCUUUCAUAUGAUCAUGACUUACAUCUCAUAACAGAAAAAAUAAAUAAAUAAAGGUAAAAAAACAUGCUUAAUAUAAUCUUCACCAUUUACAUUUUUAUUUUCUAUGCUAUUUCUGUAUAACUACAUGAAUUCCAAAACUGCAUAUCUGACUUGGUGAGUCAGAGAUUCUUAAAUUUCAAGAACAACAAACUUUGAACCAAUAUGCAAAAGGACUUCACAUAAGUGAACUUGCAAUUAAUUUAAGCAUCCUAGUUGGGGGCAUUUAAAGAAAUGAGGUUGCUAUUCAGUUUACCUCACAUUCUGGUUGUGGGGUGGGGUGGAUGGGCCUCCACCGUUUUAUCUUCAAUAGCAGUUAAGUUCCUCUCGUAAGGACGGAGUUGUGGGUGACAGCUUAAAAGUAAUCAAGUUGAAAGAAAUUGAAGAGAUGGAAGAAGAUUUUUAUCUUAAAUGUAGGGGAAACUGAUUCUCAACCAAGAUACAAUUUAUUGUUCAUGACCUUUUUCAUGUUUGAUUUGCAUUUUACACCUUUCCUUGUCUCAAUGGCUGCAAGAUAUAAAGGCUUUUGAGGAAUCUUAUAUUGGAUGGCCCAAUUUAUUGUUCCAAUAUCUUCUGGCUGAUCCUAGGUCCAUGUCUACUUAUGGAGAAAAGUAGGGUUUGGCAUUUGAGAUUUGUUGAUUGUGAAAUAAGCACCUAAGGAACUCUUUUUUAAAUUUUAAUAUUUGAUAGUAAGGAAUAUUGAUGGGAUUUUUGUAUGAUACAAAAGUCUCACUCCUGUUCUUUAUUUCUUAAGCUUGGUCCCGCUUUCUUAAGCUCACUUGCUCACCAUCCUCUGUCCUCAAGUCCAACCCAACCCAACCCCGUGCAGCAACCAACACCACCCCCCCAAACCCCAAAGACCCCAACACUGACCCACCCAUUGGCCCACCCCUUCCCUCUCAAAAACCUAUCCUUCACUCUCUCCCCCUUCCCCUUUUAGUUAUAUAUAAGUUCGUUCAAAUGCAGGAAAAUACGAAUUUAGAUUAUUUUACCAAACUUGUUCUUCGAUAGGCAAUUUUUUUUUUCCUUUUUGGUACCUGUUGGGACUUUAACCUAGAACCUCCCACAACCUCGCCUCCACCCUUUACCGCUUGAGUUAGGCCUCAAAGACUAGACUAUUUUAAUAAACUUAUUAUGAUUUUGUCUCUCUUCAUUUUCAUAGUUUCAAGAAUAAAUUGGUUUGAGAAGGACAUGGACUUUGAUCUGCUGAUGAAUAGGAUGGUGCAUUGCAUAGCACAACAUGAAGUGCAAAAGGUGCAGCAACCCCUAUACAAGAAUAUAGGAUAUACCAGAAAGGAAAGAGCGAAAAAAAGAAAAAGAAAAAGAAAAAUCAAUGCAUGAAUGAAAUAAAGUAAAGAAGUAACCCCUAACAAUGACUUACACUCAAACCCUUCCCAUGUCUUCAAAAAAAUCCAAACACCAUAAAGAUUUUGUUCCCAUACUUACAUCAUAUAGCUGUAGACAACAACUAAAAGAUAGUAGAAUAUCUGAGUUGGUCAGAAGAAAAGAUACAACAGAUCAAAAAUCCAUAUUAGUAGAGUUGGGAUAGGAUAAGCAAAAUUCUUUAAUAGACUUUUACAUGUAUAUAGCUCAAACCCAUUUAUAUCAGGAAAAAUUUCCAUCGCAGAAAUUCUAUGUUAAAUCCAUUGUUGCAUCUUUAACUGAAGGUGGGGAUGGGUCAUUCCUGAAGAAGGAUGCAUGUGCUCUCUGGCUACAAUUAUGGGGGACUCUUUGCAAUCUGUAAAUCAACCACUUCGUAAGAAAGAGAGUUUUUUUGGAGGAUGUCUCCUUUCCAUUUGCAGGUAGAAGAAGCAUAAUAGAAGAUUCUUUUUUAGCUUGGAGCUUAUACACCACAUAAGUGCGAGGAAAUCUUUAGAAAUUUUAUUUUGCGAGGAUUUACAGUCAACCAACCUUAAAAGAUUUUUCUUCUUUUCAAUUACGGGAAGAUAUGAGGAUAUGCUGAUUUCUUUCCUCUCUUUUUUCUAGGUUUAUAUACCUUGUAAUUACAUAGGUAUAUAUCAGAGGGUAAUAAAUCCUAUUAAACAACAUUCCAAAGAACAAUUGCAAGAAUAUAAGUAUUUUUGUAAAUAAUAUGGUCUAAAGUCGUGAAAUAUUAAUGUAUUCAAAUCACAAAUUGAAGUAAACAAUAAAAAGUAAUACGCCAGAGAUAUUGUAAAGAACAAUUCAGAUUAUUUUGGAACAUUGAACUGAAUAAAAUUUAGUACUGGCACAACUUGGAAUCAUGAACUCCCUAUACCAUUGCAUUUCCUAAUUUUGAAAUCAAACCACAUUACAAGGUGUAUUAUCCAAAGUAGUGAAAAAGCAUAUAACUGCAAACAAUAAUAUUAUGAUGCAAUAUGCAAAAAGGAAAAACACAGAUCAGCAUGCAAGAGAAGCAAUGAUGUGCAGUAUUUAAAUGAAAGUUUAACAAGGACACCUUCCACAUCAGGAAAUUCAUGCCAGCUUUGUCAAAGUUUUGUUUUUACUUUCUCUGACAUAAGACGCAUCAACGGUUCACAGCAAGCCUGAAAACCGCGCAUCAUCUUUAGACCUUUGGAAGCAAGGCAUGCAUGCCUCCAACUUUGGCCCUGGAAAAUGCAGGGGAUUCAUCAAUAACAUCCUCAAAACGGAACUUCCUAUGCUGUCAAAACGUAUGGAUGAAAUCAAGUUAUUAUAAAUUAGUUCUGGAAGAUUUUUAUAUCAAAACUGAAGAGUACUGAAUAGCUGCCUACUACUUUAACUACUCAUACAUAAAUCAACCCAUACACUAACUAAUAAAAGGAAAUAAAAGUAAUGGGGAAAAGGAAACAAAAUUGCCAUUUGCUAGAAGAUGUAAUAACAUUGUCAACAUCCAUGCCUCAGAUUCCAUAUGUACACCCACAAUACAAUAAAAAUGCUUCAAUGUUCAGAAAAAAAAAUCAGUCACCCUGUCUUACACAAAAAAAAAAAUGGAUGAUGGACAUAUAUCAGAUCACUUUCAAAGAUAAAGACUUUCAAACAAUGCAGAAGUCAAUAAGAGUUCUCUCACACCAAAUGGAAAGGCUAUUAUCUUCACAUAAAUUACAUAUAUUGCCUUGAAAGAUACAAUUUGGAUCACAAAGGCUGUAUCUUUUCUCAGUUCUCACUGCAAAUAUAUCUGUUGCAUUUGCUUAGCAUUCACAACUAUUAAAAAUAUAUUCCAGAUCUUUACUAGGAAAUACUUAAGGAUUAUGAGCUCAGAAAGAAAAACUAAUUGAGAAGAGUAAUAACACCAGGCCUGAAAAUAUUCAUUUCUUUAUAAGAUCUCUGGUACAUAAUUUCCAAGUUACAGUAAUUCAUCGUCAAGACAACUGCACAUUGACCAAAGAAGACAAAGCUAAAAAAUUUAACAAUUUAUCCUGCUUCUUACAUUGUCGGAGGGGCUUUAAAGCCAAGUAAAAAAAGAACCUAUUAUAAAAAGAAGGAAAAAAAGAAAACCAAACUACUAGUUAAUUACAAAAAUUUAUUCCAGCAGAUAUUAAGUUCUUUAGCUCCAUCAAAUGUUCAUCAUUUGAAAUAUGAAGUGAACAGCGAAGAUUUGUCAACAUUGUUGAUUGUUCCCAACUUAAAGGCCCAGAAGCAUGCAAUGCCGCUAGAGUGCGGCGAUAAGCAUGCAACUCUAAACUAUGGAUACUUGCUGCUAAUUCCUUUUCAAGAGAAAUGGGGCACUUUUCCUCCUCAUCUCUCACAUCUCCCUCAUAUCUCUCAUCUUCCUCAUCUCCCUCAUCUCUCUCAUCUCUCUCAUCUUCCUCAUCUUCCUCAUCUCCCUCAUCUCCCCAAUGGUAAAAUGAUUCAGCAUCACUACAAAGGUCAUCUGUAUCUUGUCUAGGAUGUGCUAAAAUACAACUGGAAAACUUAUUAGGACCAUUAUUAUUAAUGCUACAACUACCAACAGAGCAUGACAUGCUAUCAGAAUCAUUAGAUUCUGAACUUCUUGCAAGAAAACAAUCAACACCAUUUGGUUUUCCCCUCUCCAUUUCGCAAUAUUUAGUUGAACGGUCAUUAAAGGAAGCAUGCAUGUAUUUUUCACCCAGAUUCAAUCGUGGGUAAGCAACAGCAUCUACCUUUGCUCGUAAUGGAGAUGAAUACCCGGUGAUCACUCGUUGGCGUCCACCAUUUUCGAUUGCUCUCAUCUUCUGAAUGUUUCCAGAGUAUGCUUCAAGACCAGAGGAGCAAUAUGGGGAUGCUCUCUUCAAUGUCUUGGAUGAGACCAUAGGAGAAUCCUGGAAAUCAGCAUGCUUCUGAAAAAAAUCAUCUCCUGCUUGCAAUUUUAGCUUCAUAUCAGCUUGUGGCACCUGGAAACUCAUCUUCUGAUGACAAUUUGAAGUUAACAGCUUGUUGACUCUCACAUCUUCAAAAGUGAUAGAGCCCUGAGGGCAGAAGCCAAAAGUUAGUAAGUUAAUGUAGAAGUGAAGAUAACCAAUAAGAAUCACCAACAAUUUUAGUAUUGAAGAGAAAAAGACUAAGAUCAGUAGUGGACUUGCAAUUUUAAAAAGCCCCAAUAUCCUAACAUAACUACUUGAUAAACAUAAUUUAAAAAAGGAAAAAAAAAAAAAAGGAAUACAUGAACUUGACUGAAGAUGCAAUUCUCAAAUGCCGAAACCAUGAGCAUAACCAAAACCAUUAUUGAACAACUAUUUUAAGAAGUUUGCAUUCGGACCAAUAACAAGAAACAAAACACAAGAUCAAUCACCAAAGGAGGAUAGAAAAUUACUACAAUAGAACCAGAUUAUUACCUGUCCAAUCACAACCCAUUUGUCAUCUAUCCAAGCUUGUCGCACUCUGAUGUUAGACUUGUGGACUUCAAAUUCGUGGCAAGAUCCAAGUAGCCUAACCAAAUAGUAAACCGCACAUGUAACCUUCAAAACCAUAGCACAUUUCCAAGAACCAUCAUUGAACACCUCCACAACAUCACCAGUCACCCAACUUUCCAUACCUUUCACAGGGAGAGGGCAAGGUCUAAUAGCCUUCCUAGACACCCUAUCCACAUUCGCCUUAUUUGUCAUGCCCAGAUAAGAGUCAUACCUAACACUGUAGUUGUGCCCAUUACCGGAGAUAAUUUCAGCACAGUGCCAGGCACCUGAAGGCACUUCCUUUUUGUUCAAUACCUCCACUUUACUCCCUUUCCUGAAUUUCAUGUUGGCAGCAACUUCACUAAUCUAACAUUCCAAAACCUGUCACAACCAAGAAAUUAAAUAAAAAUUUAAUCAGAAAAUUCCAAUGCAUUCCAUAAGAACAAAACAACUACAGAAAGGGUUAUAUUAAUUCCAAUGCUUUGUAGAACUUCCCUAUUUCUAUCUUUUUUCUCUUCAAACCUGAAAUCCGUUUUUUUCCUUCUUAGGAGCUGUUUUCCAUUGAAACAAACAGAUCAGGAAGAAGAGAAGAGAAUGAGAACAACUUUUAAAUAGAUCUUUAAAAACAGUAGUUAAUGAUUCAAAACUUACAUAAAAAAUCCCAUAAUCAAAUCAUAUAAAAACAAAAUCAAGGAAAAUAAAAAUUAAAAGUUUGAUUCUCAAUAUGAAUUUCUUGUACACCCAUCACUCACGGGAAACUCCAAAAUGCCCAAAAAGUAUAAAGAGAAAAUAAAAAAAAAAUAGUGAACAGUUCAAAAAAUUAGUCCCAAUUUUUUUUUUUAAAAAAAAACAUCAGAAACUUUCGAGAAAACCACAAGCAAACUUUGAUCACCAAAAUCCUUAUAAGAAUUAAUCAAAUCAAAUCAAAGUAAAGCAAACCAAAAUCACUAAAUACAUGACAACAAAAACUCAAAAUCCGAAAAAAAAAUAAAUUAACACAUACACAACCUAAAUUUCUCAUCAGCAUGCAAACACCACGAAACUAUUCACUCAUUUCCAAUUAAAUAAACAGUAAUUGAAAAAAAAAAUAAACAAAUAAUAUUGAAAAUUUGAAAACUCUGAAACUUACCUUCAUCAAGAACCAAGCAGAGCAGAAGAUGAUUUUCGAAACCUGAGAGCUGAAUCGAUUUUGCAGAAAAAAAUAUAUGAAAACUAGGGUUUGUUAAAAUGAAUUUAUUUGAAGAAAAUAAAAAAAUAAAUACAAAGUUAAUUUAUACUAAUUUUGCAACCCACAAAAAGUGGAGGUGCGCAGUGCGCACAACCUACACCUAAUUCGUAAAGCAGGAAAGGUAUAAGCGUAGAGGAUCGAGAUCCCGAGUUCAGAAGCACUCUCCUGAUCUUGCCACGUUGGCAAUGAUGGGUUUUUGAUGAGGUGUCAAGAUCAGAGGAGGGAUGAGAAAUAUUCGGGUGUGGAAUGGAGGUACUACGGUUGUCGGAGCAGGAAUUCGUAUUCUUAAAUAUUUGUGAUGAUAAGUAUUUGAUGACACGUGUACAGUCAAAUAGAUUAUUGGGAAUUUUGGGAUUUAUCUCUUAGGUAAUUUUUAAUCCUAGACUCCUACUACAACUGCACCUCUCCAUUUUAGAAUUUUUUAUUUCUUUCAAACUUAUCUGUUACGUGCCUUCUCCAUCAGUUUUAUUGGAAAUCAAUUAACUAAAUAUAAAUACUCUUACCUGAAUUUGUAUUGAUUUUCCAAAUAAACUAACCAAACACCAUUCCAUAUUCCAUAUGUGUGGAUUGAUCUUUAUUGAUAUUAUUUGUACUCUUUUAAUUUAAAGAAAAACUAAAAAUAAUUUUAAUCCCAACCAUAUACUAAUACCCUUCUUAUACAAUUUUCAAACCGCCCUAAUUUUGACCAUCUUUGAAAAUUUGGAAUAGAGAAUGAGAAUGAAAAAUCAAUAUCGUCUAACAGGAUUUUGAUUCCACUCUUCUACAUGGUAUAAUAAUUCAUCCUUACUCUCAUUUUGUUUCCAUUCCUAUUCUCGGGUAACAAACGGACUUCAAUUGUAUUGAAAAAGGGGUCAAAAGUAUUGAUUAUAAGAACCCAAUAAAUAUUUGAAAUUUUACAUGUUUUGGGGUUUCAUUGAUUAAGAAUUAAAAUACAGAAUUAAAAGAGAAAAUUGAAGUUUGGUCUUAUUCAAGGGGCGGAAAGGCAAGAGUGGAUGAAUGUACAAGCUGGACAUUGAAGUUUUGUUGUACCAACCUCUCGUGUCAUUGUUGCCUAAUCUCAAGUGGUAUAAUAUUUUAGAAUUCUUGGAAUGAUAGAGCCAUCAAGCCAUCAAAUAAAAGAAAGGAAUGGGGGUAGUGUAUGAGUUGCUUCAAUUGACCCAGGAUGAGGACCAAAAAACAAUGUCAAGAUUCCUCCCCACAGGCAUCGAUAUGAUGCCCUUCAUUGCCUUUUUCUUAAUGAGAAGCAACAGAGAUUCCAAACCUUGUGUAAUGUGAGACAGAUCCAAAACCCAACGAUGUUUGCAAUGUAAACCAGGGCAGGCAGCCAGUUAUUGUGGGGUUGGAGCCUGAGGCCAGCAGCCUCACCAUUGCCCACUAGGCAAACCUGCAACCUUACCACAGAUGGCUAACAGAUUUAUCAUUUAUAUGCAGUUGCUGUAAACAAUGCAUGGUCCCUGAAUUUUCUUCCUUAGAAUGACGGUUAAUACAAGCCUUCCAGGAAGAUUGGGGUGCUCAACAACAGCAUCCCACCGUGAUUAACAAUAGUAUCAACCCAUGAGAACAUGUAGAAAGUUUCUCUUCGAUUAAAUAAACUUAUAAAAAGAAUACCAUAUUUCCAGCCUUAAUCUUACAAUUGCCGGUUUGACUCAAAACCAUGACAGCCUAUAGCCAGUUUCAGAAAUUCUGCGUUGGGCAUCAUUUUAUACAUAUAAUACCCACAUAGAAAGAACACGAUAGUGGGUUAUCUAGCUGGGUCCAUGUUUUCUCCUUAAAGGCCAAAUAUCCCAAGAGUAGGCAGCACAAAAUCUGAAUAAACAAGGCCAACAGAUCCCUCCCAAGACAGAUACGAGAGAAGCGUGCUUCAUACCAUCCAAGGUGUUACACAUUGGAAGGUUAGCAAUUCUGGAUCGUUAAUAGCGGGGCAGAGUCUAGAAACCUGAGAAAAGUAAACACAUAGCUUAUCUAGAGAUCAAAACGUGCAUGCUGGCCUGAGCAUUCAAAAGAAACAACAAACUUGGGGAUGAAUUAGAAAGGUGAAUAAGGUUGGCUUUGAAUUUGCAACCAUGGACUUGCCUCUAUUUCAUAUUGAAGUUCAGAUGGCAUAAAUGUCCAGAAAAGUACAAAAUACCAAUGUUUCAGAUCCAUGCCAUUCAUCACGUAUAAAUGCUGCAAAUUGUUAGAAAGGACAGAAAAAUAAAAACAGACAGCAAAGGAGGAAACCCAUCUAAGAAGAUAAGAUACAUCUUAGGGGAAAUAAGAAAAACUCUAAGAAGGCAUAGGGGAGCCUAAAGGUGCAGCAAAACCCUUUUAGCCAAAGAAGAUCCAAAUUGCUACCCUAAAUUCAAUAUACAAAUGCAUCAAAAGGCAAAGAAAUAUCCACAAUUUCUCUCAUAGAUUAAGUGCUAAGAAAUAGCCAAUCUAGAAUUAACCAUCUGAUCACAUUACUCAGGUCCCACAAUAAUGUGAAUCUUACCCGUUUUCUCUAGUUUCCCAAGCCCCCAUAAGAGUGCCAAAAUGCGAUGAACUGUUGGCACUAGUCCUACAUUUUGUCUCUGUAGACCAGGCGAAUGCAGGCUCCAAUACCCAACCAAAGGGCCACUGCUGUAUCAAUCAAAAAGACGGUCUUCAUUACUGGACAACAAAAUUGAUUAUAAAAUUUAUUAACACUCUCCAAAAAAAAGGAAGGUACUGUUAAAACAAUAACUCAAACCACUUCAGCUUCACCAACCAAUCUCAAGAGAAAGAUACAUGAAUACUGCCAGUAACAGUAUGCUCUGGGUUAUCAGUGGAGAACACAUUAAAGUUUAAUUUCAAAUGGCUACAGGGAAAGAUACAUGUAUUUUAGAUACUCAAUUUGUUCUUGUUACAAUAGAGACUAGAAUUUCAAUCUCUAACAUGAUACUUUGACUUUUAGUAAACACCUAUAUCCCUAAAAUUAUAUAUGAAUGGAAUAUAAUUGAGUAGCCAAACUAUCAAGCUUGAAACAGCUUGACCAUUCCAGCUAUAAGCCACAAGUGAAAUAGAAUCACUAGUUCACUGAUAAACCAGUAGGCUAUAAAUUUUGCUUACAAACUCAGAUCUUGCUUACCAACCAUGAUACAAUACUGCACAUUUCUGCAAUUAUCAUUCCUGUUAUCAAUAAUUAACAGGUUGUCUCCACAUGAAAUCCUUCACAUGCCAAAGUGGUUAAAAACAACACAACCACACAAACAUGUGGCUAGUAAUAGUGGCCUGCUUACAAUUACUUAUCUCAAACCUGCAGUUUUUCAGUUUAUACAGCAAGAAAUCAGGUCUUUACACUAGGAAAAUUUAAAAAAUUGAUCAAUUUAUGCAACAAUAAAUGCCAGGAGUAUCUUAGCAUUUGCUCUAUUAAAAAAGGAAAAAUCAUAUAUUGGCACAAGCAAAUGUCAGCCAAUUUGAUAACUUAUACAAAAAAAAGUGUAUGGACUUAUGGUUCAUACCUCGAGAGAAUGCAGAAGGUGUAAUCAAUGUUAAAGGAGUGCCCAGCAUUCUAGAGUUGUUUAGAUCCAUUGAUCCAGGGAAAGAUGAGGACAGUCAACCUAGUAGAUAAGAAGGGGGGAAAAAAGGAGCAACUGGUAAGUAAUGCACAAGCCCAUCAGAGUGAUCCCUAUAUAUAAAAAACACACUAUAGGAUAGUGUAAUGGACCUUAUCUUCUUGGACGGAUAAGCUUACAAGGAUAAGCGUCACAGCUAACAACAUAUUUCUUCCUUGAUGACUUAAACAAAGGCAAGAAGCAAUUUACAAAGAAUGACCAAUUGAGUGCUGAUUUAACCAUGUGAAGGCCUAGAAAGGGAUCGAUCUCCUUUGAACUUUCCAUUUAUGAGAAUAUCAUAGGUUACAUCAUCAGGUACAAGGCCUCUGUCAAGCAUCUCAUCAUGCAAUGUAAAAGCCUCUUUCAAAUUCCCUUCCCUGAAAUAACCAGCUAUCAGUGUGUUAUAAAUAAGAACACUAGGAGUCAUAUUUUUCCUAUCCAUCUCUUCCAAGAUCUUCCGUGCAUUCUCUAGCUGUCCUUUAUUGCAAAGUCCAUUUACCAGAACAUGAAAUGUGAUAAUAUCAGGCACAAUACCCUUGGAAAGCAUCUCCAUGUAAAGAUCUGAUGCAAAGACAAGUCUACCUUCUUUCAGCAAUCCAUCAAUCAAAGUUGUGUAUGUUCCUAAAUCACAAGGAAUCCUGUCAUUGAUCAUCUUCUUAUACCAAACAAGUGCUGCUUCCAUGUUAUUCAGAUCUCUGAAGCCACUAAUCAUGCUGUUGUAAACAAUUCUAUUUGGGGAUAAGCCAACUUCAAGGAGUUCAAAGAAAAGAUCUUGUGCACUUUCCAUAUCCCUUCUUUUGCAAAAACCAUCAAUAAGAGCACUAUAUGCUGUAACAUCCAAUUCAAGACCCUUUUCUCUCAUUUCAUCCCGCGUUUUCAAAGCGAGAUCAAUCCUAUUACUUUUGCAGAACCCAUUAAUCAAGCUAGUGUAAGUAACAACAUUUGGGGAAACUCCAAAUUCACACAUCUCUCUAUAAACAGCCAAUGCAGAAUCGAUGUUACCCUCCUUGAUAAAUCCAUCUACAAUGCUGUUGUAAGUCAUACAGCUUGGAAUGAAACCCUCCUCCAAAAAAUUCUUCAGCUUAUCCCUUGCCUCUGACAUUUGGCCAACUUUGCACAAACCAUUGAUAAUUGUAUUAAAUGUAAAGUCAGUAGGGGCAAUAUUUAAGCUCAGCAUUUGGUCAAACAAGUCUAAGGCUUUUUCACUAUCACCUUUUUUGAAAUUCCCAUCUAUCAAAAUAGAAUAAGUGACCACAUUUGGUUUCAAAUCCCUUGCGAGCAUGUCUGAGAAUACACUGGAUGCCAUAUCCAUAUUCCCUUUCCUGCAGUGGCCAAGUAUCAUGUCAUUGUAAGAAACUACAUUGGGUACCAUUCCUUGAUUUACCAUAUUAUCCAAUAAACUGCAAGCUUCAUCCAUCUUGCCUCCUUUGCAUAGCCACGACAUCAUGAUAUUAUACGUAAAAAUAUUGGCAACACCACAAUCAACCGCUUCAUCAAACAGCUUGGAUGCUUCUUCCCACAAUGGAGCUUUCAAGUAACCCCGUAAUAGGGAAUUCACAUUAAACACACUAGGCGGGAUACCAUUGAGUUUCAUUUGAGUGUACAGUUCAGAAGCCUUUUCAAUGUUCCCACUGUUACAGCAACCUUCAAUCAAGACUGAAUAUGUAACUUUGUUCGGAAAAAGUCCAUCUUCAGUUAUCUUAUUAAACAAAUUCAAAGCACUAUCCAAAUUGCCUUGAGCACAAUACCCCUUCAUUAAACUCGUUGCAACCACCAAAUUCAUCGGCUUCCCACAAUUUAUCAUCUCCUCCUUUAGCCUUAAAGCCUCCACCAUAUUUCCCUGUGCCACACAAGCAACAAUAACACUAGUGAAAGUGGCCUCUGAAGGAACCCACCCCCUCUCUUUCAUCUCCUCCAACAACUCAAGACCCAAAUUCGAAUUUGGUUUCUUGCAAACAGCCUGAAUAAUAAUACUAUAUGCCCCUGCAUCAAGUUUAACACCCCUUUCCUUUGUUUCCCUAAAAUACUCCUCCGCCUCCUCCACCCUCCCUUCUUUCAGACAAGCUCGAACCAUGACAUGUACUGUAAAGUGAUCACCAUAUAUUCCUCUCAAAACCAUUUUAUUAUACAAAUCUCGCAAUUCCCCAAUCAUAUUUCUCCUAACCAGAGCAGUCAAAAGAAUAUUCAUAUACGGAACCCAAGGAAUCACAUCCUGACAGAUCAUCGCAUUGAAACAAUCGAUUGCAUUUUCAAUUCGAUUGGCCCUAAUGUAAGCAUUUAGCAAAUAAUUAAAAACCCGAUGAUCUAAUUCAAAAUCGAACCUUUUUGCGCAGUUGAUUAGAUGAUCAACAAAAACAACUGGACUGGGAUCCGAAUCACCCGAGACAUAUCGAUUAAGCAAUUUCCGAGCAUGUCCAUGAGUCUCAGGCGACCGCAUCAAAAUGUGGAGCAAAACACAGUAGGCAUCUACCCCUCUGAUAAAACCACGCUGCGUUUCGGCCCGUUUAAAGUAUCUCAGAGCUGAUUGUGGGUCAUUGACGUGGCACAGAAGAGCAUCUAUUACAUGGUUUUGUGAGAGAGGCGUGGUUUCUUGGUGAAUUUGCGAAGUGGGUACGGUGUCUUGGGAGUAUCUUGGAUAUGGGGAAGAUGAGUUUCCUGGAAAACUGGACUCUGGACUGAUUUUCUCGGGAAAAUUGGCUUUCGGAUUGGGAUCCUCGGGAAAAUGUGUAAGUGAUUCUGAGGUGGAUUUCUCAAGAAUCUCUGGUUCUGAUAUGGCUGGUGGGAUAGAAACAGAGCAGACACAUUUCGGGUUUGUGAAAGGCCAUCGUAAAAUUGGAGAGAAUGUGGACAAAGAAAUUGCAGAUCUCAUGCUUGGUUUCUGCAGAAACGAAGGGCUCUACAAAACCUCGAAGCUGUUAAACUUAAACCCUACCGGUCCUCGAUUGUGAUUUGGGCCUGGUUUGCUAUGGGCUGGGCUUGUUUGCAUCGGGUCGGAGAUUUUAAACCCAAGCCCAAUUUAGUCGGGCUCUGACUGAAUCUCAUGUUUCUAUGAUUGAAUAAGUAAUAAUUUGCCUAUGGCUAUAUUAUCAAACCUUCUAAAAAGACAGCACCAAUCAGAUGAUGCCAUAUAUCUAUUUGUUUAUAUCCCAACUUUGAUCAUAUUUAUUUAUACCCUUAUCUAAAGGUUUAAAUAUUAUCAUAUACAUUUUAUCACUUCAUAGAUGCCACCAUGGUACCUAACAUUGUCCUAAUAAUUUUUAUAAAAAAAUUAUAUACUUUCUAUUGGUUACGAUAUCAUUGAUUAUGUCUGAAAAACAAAUUUUAUGAUACAAUUCAUUGAUAAUGAAAAAUUAAAGUAUAAAUAUAAUAUAAAACUUGCAAUGUUAUGUAUAAGAAAAGAUAAUUUUUCAAAACUAUUUUUAAAACAAUUACCAAACAUACCCUAAAUUUUCCCAAUCCGUGAUUCAUAUGUCCCAAUCCUUAGUUCUAUUCUUGACUCAUGAACCCCUUAGCAUGAUCUCUUCAAUCAACUAUCAAAUGCUCAUGAAAAAAUACCAAAUCAAACAUAAUGAUAAUCAUAAGAAUUUGAUUGAUUAAUGACUACUAUCAGUUCAUAUUUAAUAUUGUGACCGAAAUACAAAUAGAAUGUCCUCUAACAAGAUUGUGUGGUGUUGAAUGCGAUGAUACAAUUUGCUUCACAGCCUCAAGUGAAUAUACUGUCCAUACCCCAAUUAUAUUCACAACAGGAAAUUUGAUAAAUUUUGCUUUGCAUUGAGCUUUAUAGGAAUCCAGAUGGAUGGGUCAUGCCUUUGCUAUAAGAAAUUGAAAAUGUGCAUUGUAGAGUGGGACUGACUACAAUCCUGAAGGUUGAGUGAAUAGAUAUGUAAGUAAUGGAGCAACCACUGCUACGCUUAAACUGUUCCCCAGCAAUGCGUAUCUGCAUACAAAAGCAACUCAAUUAUAUACAAAAUUUAUUCAUCACAAAUAUUUAUGAUUUACCAAACUUUGCUGUAAUCGACUAAUCCCACGGGGCCCUGAAGUUAAGGACUGGAUAAGCCUCCAGUGGCCCUAAGGGGACUCGAACUGGUGACUAUUGAGGAGCAAACCCAAAGCCAGACCAACUGAGCUACCCCUUAGGGUUAAACUUUGUUGUACUCUUACCAUGAGGCCAAUAGAUUUUUUUAUCCAGAUUGAAAAUGAAUUAAAGUGAGAAAAAGAUGCAACUGGGAACUAUGCAAACAGGUCAGAGAUUAAAAGAAACAGAUAACAACAUAUGAUGUGGUAAUUACUUAUUUCCACUAUAAAACACCCAACCCAUGAAAACAUAUAAAUUGCUCCAUGCUAAUAGGACUUUUUCAGAAGGAGCUGAAUGUUCAGUUUCAUCAAAGCAAGUGUUAUAUCUUUUAUAGAAACAGCAAUAUAUCUCAUUAUAUGUUGCACUUGAUGAGGCAUGCAAACAUAAUGGUGAAACAUGAUACUAUUAAGGAUUGGACUGUUAAAGAAGAAACUUCUAGGGAGCUCUCCUGAGGAGAGGCAACUGCUAAGAUGAUGAAAAUGUACAAAAUUUUAUGGUUUCGUCCUAUAAAGCGAAGCUAUAAUACUCGGUCUCUCCAAUUUUCUGGGUUUUAUCUACUAAAGGGAAGCUAUGAUACUCGGAUUCUCCAACUUCAGCCAGCGUAUUCAUAUCAACACAACACCUUAUGGGUGUGAGUAUAUAUAGCAUCAUUGUUUAAUACUCAUAUUUUGUUUUGGAUAUGGUUCUUUGAUUCUAAUUGAUUUCCUUUUACUACUACCACAUUCCUUAUCAGAUAGUUACAUUGAAGAAAGAGAGAGUUGCUGGAACAUGACCUUUUAGAGUAAUAUUAAAAUAUAAUAAAGAAAAGAAAAGAAAAGAAAUAGAUAAAAGAGAAGGAACAAAGCUUUUAUUCUUUGUUAUGAUCUAUCCUAGUGUCCAUAUUCAUUAUUGGGAACCUUUUUAGCUAAGUCUUAUUAUUAUAUCCUAAAAUUUUUACAUCUAAAAUAUCAUCCACCAAGAAACAUAACCUACCCACACCAGAACUCAAACCCAUGCAACAUUUAAGUCAAGGGUCAAGCCACUUGAUUGUAGGACUGGGAAACAGUUCUAUGGGAUUCCAAAAGUUGGUUUCCAUGUGAAAUACAUGCUUUAGAUCACUAAUCCUAUCAACAAUGUAAACAUUAUCUUAAGAUCAUAAAAAUUAUAUUUCAUUCCACAAUUUAACUGGAAAGUGAAAAAUAAACACAAAACUUAGAAUAUGUUAGGAAAAGAAAUGUCAAUUUAUCUAACAACUAAACGCAACAUGAGACUAGCAAGAGCUUAGGGUAAAUUAUAGUUUCUUAACCAGAUCUCCCAUCUGUUUUAUUAGUAAAUUGGUAAAAAUUUGUCAAAGUUCAUUGUUCCUACUUUCAUCCAAUCCUCACACAAAAUCAUAAUAACAAAAACAGAGGGAUAAAUGUAACAUACCGCUGUCUAAGGUUUACAUGCUGUGGAAAGUGAAAAUCCUCUGGGAAAGAAUGCAGAUUAGCAACCUAAAAGUUAUCAAAAUCAUAAAUUAGUUGAUAAGAGACAAAGACAAAAGAAGAAAGAGAUAUGAGCAAAAUUUACACACCUCUCUAGGGGUAAAAUAUCUAAGACACUGCUCCUCCAACAAGGAUGCUUUAUCCUUCUUUGACUGCAAGUCGCCCAUUUUAUAGAAGUCAUGAAAAAUGAAAAUGGUCAUAGCAAUAAUUUCUAUAGUGUGAACUAACCUUGAAUGCAAACUAAAUUUAACUCAGAUAUUGGGAGUGUUGCAGAGAACUACCAUGGGUUGCACAGAACACUGGGGGCCGAAUUAAUUGCGGGAUGUGAACUAAACAAUCAAAUAUUUUGAAACUAAAUCUGGAUAUUGAUCCAGUGAAAUGCCUGGUUGAAUUAGACCAGGGUUUUUGGUCGCAUCCAUCCAACAUAAAUAAAUAACUAUUGGGAACCAUUGGAUGCUAAAAAAAUUCUGCAAUCUUUCAACCGUUCCUAAAUUUUACAUCAUGUAUAAAAAUAAGAUCAUCACAUCUAAGGGCUAAUAAGUAUUUGAGCUCACCAAACAAAUGAACUGCCAUGGCAAACAAGCCCAUAAGUCCAUUUGAUCAAGUAUGAUGAACUCAAAACAUUGCGAUGAGCCAGGUUGCUGAAACCUUCAUGUAAUGGCCAAAGCAACCAGACCAGCUAAACAGACAAAAUUUUAUAACAGUAGUCCAAACUAACGGUUGCAAGAGUGCCUGAUAUAAUAUGAGAAACAAUCAAGACUAAGUUUUUAAAAUAAGAAUAUCUAUCACGAAUCAGCUCUAUGCUGUUUAAGAGACUGUCUUUACAGGACUCACUCAGAUAUUCAAGAAACAGUGAACAUAAUUGAAAUUCAUACCUGGCCAGUUGCCAAAAGAGAGCCAGUACCCUUCACAUACCGAUAAUAACUUUUUGUAAAACAGCAGCAACGCUUUGAGUCAGGAUAGACAAUAUCUAUGAUCUUUUUAAGGAUUCAUUAAAAGAGAGAGAGGGGUUUAUUCAAUAAAAAGUACAACAUGACUAAUUACAAAUGGUACAGGUAAUCAACGGGAAUAAGCAAGGAUACCCAUAGCACUUCCCCACCUCUCUAUCAAGCUCAAUGGAACAGAAAACUGGUCCCAAGAAUUACUGUCAGAUCUGUCUCUUUCAUUGUUCUCCAACUCUCCAGAAGCAUCUGUAGAAACACUAAGGGUGUCCAAGUAGCUGGACUCUGUUUCUAAUGGGUUGAUAGUAUUCUUGAAUUCAAGAAAUCUCUCCACUGGCUCACAUGAUUGGAGCAACUUAUCCCAGAUCUUCUCUGAUUGAUCAUGUUCAUCAAUCAGUGAGUCAUCCUCAUGACCAAAUAAUGGGCUUGGAGUUGAAAGUAGUUGGUUAUUGAAGAGUUGGUUUUCAAAUGAUAAAGGUUUCCUUUUUGCCUGUAGCAAUAAGUAGAUUACAUUUAUCAAUUAAAAAUCUGGACAAGUGUGUGUAUAGGACUUCUUAAAAUCAUGAUAAUUUUCCACCCUUGUAUCCAACAAAUGACCAUAAAUUGGUUAGGCUUUUAGUUUGAAUUGCAUGAACUUCCACAAACCACCUUGAAUGAGACCUGAUUUUUUAUAACAACCCUAAUUUUUAAAGGGAAAUAUUUAUCCAAUUCAUAACCCAUCCUAAGUUCCAUCACCUUGUUUAUUCUUAUAUGGAAAAGAUAAGAAUAAUGACAAUAAUAAUAGUUAUAAGUGAGACAGCAUUUACCAGGCAAAAGUAUCGUGGCCUGGAAUAUGGCACGCCAAAUUGUAUUGGGCUCAAAAUAAAUUCCUGGGUAACAAAACCAGUUUUUGAUAAUAUCUCAAUCAUUUUCUCAUGUGUAUCAGAUGUCUGCAACAAAAAAGACAGUACAAAAGAUAAGCAAAGAAUACUUGAUUGAAAAUAAAAAAUUUAUAUGCCAAGUUCACAGACCUCGAAUCCAACAACAUUCUCAACAAAAAGCAUAAGUGGAGGAUGUAAGGUGUGCUGUAUAAGUUCAAGAAUCUUGAGAAAAGAAAAUGCCCGGGCAUCGCCAGAGUGCUUUUGGAGACCUAAUCACAAAAUAUUUUGAGAAAACAUCAAUCCAAAGAUAAUUCAAAAAACAAGAAAAGGAAAGCAACAAUAGUUCACCUUGUCGGGUGUAUGGCUGGCAAGGAGGAGAAAGAAGCCAUGCAUGAGCUCUAUAUCUAUCAAGAUCAGCAGCAGUAAGGCUCUGGAUGUUACCCUAGGACCCAAAAAAAAAAGUCCAUUUUAAGCAUCUUAUAAGCCAAAUGUCAAAUUUUUGAAAUGGGUACCUCUGAUUUUCUUAUUUUUGAGCAGCUCAAAAGCCAAAUACCAAAAAUUUGAAAAAUGGGCAAUUAGGAUUUUCCAUUUUCAUGAACAGCCCAAAAGCAAAAAAUAAAUUAUAAAUAAAUAAAUAAAUAAAUAAUAAUAAUAAUAAUAAGCUGCCUACUUUCGGGUGGAAAGCAGUAUUCCUCCAUUUAAUUGCUACUGAGAAACAUAAGGAAAAAGAAGGAAAAAAAGGUUUAUAUUUAUGUUGGUUUGAUUCUAAGCACAAUUAAAAUUUAAACCAAAGAGUAGGAAGUAGAGUGAGGUGAAUGCCAAAUUCUGAAAAAUCUAAAGAAAAAGGGUUUUUCUGCAUAUUGCGAAUAGGAGUUGAAGUGGAAAGAGAAGAAAACCUGGCAAGGGCGGUGACCGAAAUUGUGUUGAUAAACAUCGUUGGCAAUGUUGUUGAUGUCGAAUGCUUCGACAAUUUUCGCAUUCACACCUCCCCUCUUUAAAGAGUAUCUCUAUCGAAACAUACACGCAGAGAUACACUGAAAUUAUAACGAACACAUAUAUGCAUCUACACAUAUGGAGAGAGAGAGAGAGAGAGAGAGAGAACCAUUCCGCCGAUGCCACUGUAGAAUUCGAGGACUCGCCAUGGAUCCUCACCUUGGGGAUUGCACAAACCCUUCUCCAUUGAUGGGUGCUUCCCCUGUGAGAGAGAGCGGCGCCAACUCAGUGCCUUCACGAAAGUUGCAUAUCAUACGACGUCAAUUGUCGUCUCUAGGGAUGAACUUGGGAAAAUCAAAGCAAGAUAUGGUUUUAUACUACAAUCAAAUUAAAUUAUGUAAUUUACUUUUUAUUAAUAAAAAUUAUUAUAGAUGUAAAGAAUUAUUAAAAUAGUUCUCAAGACCAUUUCUUUUUCAUGUAAGUUUUUAAGAGUUUUUACAUUUUAUAUUAUUUUUAUAAUUUUAAAAAUAAAAAAUAAAAAAUAUAUUCAAACGGACACUUGAUUAUUUGCACCUUCAUGCAAUAUUUCCAAUUUUUACCAGCAAUUAGGCUAAGAAAAAUAUUGGUUAAUGUGAAAUUGUUGUUUAAUUUGACAUGCAUUUUGUUCAUUUCUUGUAAGUUGUAUUUAAUUUAGGGAUUUUUGUCUCGAACUUAAUAAAGAGCUGCACUUUAGUACUCUAGCAUCAUUUAUUAACAGACUUACUUUUUUUACACUUCGAUUCAAAUUUGGUAGAAAAAACUUUAAAUUAACGUUGUUGAAGUGAAUUUUCUAAAAAAGAUGUUCGCAUAAUUAUUCAUAAUUUUUUCCUUCCACUAGAAAAUGUGGCAACUUAAUUUAAACUAUUGACAUAUUUCUUUACAUUCUAAAUAUAUUGUAUUAUUCUUUAGUAAGACGAUAUGUUAUGUUAUAUUUAAUUUGUGAAAGGAUAAAAUAAAAAAUAAUAUAGAAUGUAUAUUUUUUUAAUAUUUAAAAUAAAAUUUAUAUUAUAUUCCAAUAUUUUUUAUUUAAAAAAUAAAAAAUUUCUUAUAUUUAAUUAUAUUCAUGAUUAAAAAAUAUUUAAGUUUUAUAAAUAAAUUUUUUUAUAUUAUGUUAUUCAAUAUAUAAAAAUAAUUUAUAUAUCAUACAUUAAUAUUAUUUUAUAAAUACUUUUUUAACCAUAAAUUUAAUUUAUAAUGAAAAUUUUUAUUUUAUAAAAUGAUUACAUAAAAAAAUUGAUAAAAAAAAAAUUAUGAUACAUGAAAUGAAAUAUGCAUAUUUCAUAUAUACAAAGGAUAAAAAAAAGAUGUAUUUCAUCAUUCAUUAAAUAUGGGAUAUUAUAUAGUAUUUCAUCUUUUAUCCUAUCACAUUUUUCCCUUGAUGGCAAAUCAUCCUUUGUAGUUAAGGCACUUUUGAGUUGUGCUUUAAGAAUUUUAAUAUACGAUUACAUCAUAUGGCAAGUUAACAGGAUAUCUUUGUCCAUCCAUAUGUCAUGGACUUUUAGUCCAAUUAUGCAUUUUUAUUGCCUUUGUACCCUAUUAUAUGCUUUUGAAAUCCCUAAAGCACAAAUAUCCCACUAUCGGGGAAUGGCUCCCUUUCCUCUAAUUCUUAAUGAAUGAAAUAAUUAAGCAUGCCAUAGAAUUUACCCUAAUAAGAUCCCAUUGAUUGUAACAGGGGACAAAGAUAUUCCUUAACUUAAGGUUUUUAGACUUUUUGUCUUAUAAUUUAAAAGAAAUUUGAUGUAUUCUAAUAUUGAUUCCUUUGGGUAGGUUUAUAGGUUACAAGGGGAUAUAGAAUGUGGUUAAUACGAUUAAUCAUGUUUCCAAAACUUGGGUUUAGAUUACGGAGACAUGAGGGAAAAAAAAAAGAGGAAAAAGUGGAGAUAGGGUUAAGUAGGUUCGGAAGAAGGAAAGAAGGAACAUAGCUGAGAUUUUACCAAGAGUCUAACUGAAUCACAAUGUUUUGUUCGAUUGUUCUAGUCCCGCAUCCCAUUCAUUUGUAUUUUGAUUUCAUUUUUUUAUACUUUGAUCUCAUUUGUUUGUACCUGAUUCCAUAUAUUUGUGUUAUCUAUCCGAAUGAGAUUGCAAACUAAUCAAUAUCCUCAAAUUUUCUUGUAGCAAUGAGAUAGGUCAAACACUUAGGAAGAAUUAAUUUCAGUUUAAUUAAUAAAAAGGGAAACAAGAAAAAUAAAAUAAUUGUUCUUUUGUGAUUGUACACCUUUCUUUAAUGUCUUUCCAAAUAAUACAUCAACGAGUCCACUGAGGCUUAUGCCUCAAGCCUCCAGGCAUGACAAGCGUACUUGAGCCGUGCCUUUGCCAAACCUUGACCCGUAAGUCUAAUGCAUUUUUUCCUUGCGCCUCAUCGCAUUUUCGAGGCGCUUUGCCAUGAAGCACGCCUCAACAUGCACCUGAAAACAUAUCAUAGAAUGAGAAAAGGAAAAAAAAUAAAUUAAAAUAUGAUAAUUAUUUAGAUGGAAAGGAAAAUAUUCCACUGCAAAAAACUUAAUUAUAUAUACAAAAGAGAAUAUACAUACAUAUACAUGAUGGGUAUCAAAAGGGCACUAGUGGUAGGUUUGGCUCGAUGGAAAAAACAUGGAAACAAAGGAAAACAGAAGUUGAAACGAAGACAAAAACAGAGGGAGAAACUAGAGAGAGAUGAGCAAAGGGAAAAAUGAAAGAAGUACUUUAACACUACGUCCACCGUGAAAUAGAGAGGAGGCAACCUCGACAAGAGAGAAAACAUAGAGACACAUUGCCGAUGAGAGUUGUCAAGAUUAGGGUUUUUUUCUCUUUUCUUGUCCUAUUUGUAUUUGAUAUUUGUUUUGAUUUUUGUUUUUUUUGAUACAUCAAUGACUCCAUUGAGGCUUACGCCUUAACCCUCAAGGCAUGAAAAGAGCACUUGAGGCAUGCCUUAGUCACGCCUUAACCUUUAAGGCAUAUGCCUUCUAGGGUUGAUCUUUUCUUCCUUGCACAUCACCUCAUUUUUGCAGGGAGACCCUUCAACGUUGUCUUUCCACCACCAUUAAUUGCAAGGAUUGAAUUGCUCUUAUAAAUGGUUUAAGACGUGCAAGCAAGCAAGCAAGCUUGACCAAAACUCCCACUUAUGAACCUGAAUAGAUUGUUUAUGCCAUGAGACUUGCAAUUCUAUUUCAGCUUACCACCAAGAAGUGUGAUUAAAAAUACAAAAUAGCAGAGAAGAGACAAACAUAGAUUAAUUAUCAUAAAGAAACUCCACAACCUUACUUGAAAAACAAAAGGAAUAGACAAAAAUCUUUCACCUUACAGCUAAAUAAAUAAUGUUCAUUAGGUUUCUUCAUCAUCAUUGCAACCUAUGUUUGGAAAUUCACAUUCAACAAAAGAGGUCAUACUCUGGCCUCGGAUAUCGUCUGAUAGUUUCUGCCCUUUUCAAUACCAAAACAACUCUAUUUUUGAAGCAACCAUCAUGGCAAAAAUGUAAACAUUUUCUAGUUAUGUACUAUUUUAUGGCAGAAAUAUACAAAGCUAAACCCAAUUGUGCUUCCAGAGAACAUUCAAUUGGUAAGCACAAGCUUUCCACAUGAAGCAAUAUCCUUGCCAACAGGGGACACAAAAAGGAACUUCAUACAGGCAGCAAAUAUAACCUCCAAGAUUUUCAAAAGAGCAUAUCAAUUUCUUCCGCAUUCUACUGAGAUGUGUCCCAUCAGAGAGUCAACCAUUCACAAUAUUUCAGGUCAAACCCAUGAAACAAACAAUACAUUAUUCCUUAACAAGAAUCCGUGCGGCCAUAUUAAAACCAAAAACCAUGUGUAUCAUGAUGCACUGGGAAAAAUAUUAGAAAAAUAAUAGGGAUAAUAAAUACCUGUAAUUGAAUUUCAUUCACCAAUAAUCCCGGCAAGAACACAAUCCAUCUUUGAAGUGGUGGAAUCUCUUAGCAUCUCGUAUGAUGAGCUCCCUGCCAACAAGCUUUGAAAUGAUCUUCAGGGCAGUGUGACAGUCACCACAAACACGAAGAUUCUUGAUUACCCUAAUAGGUGAACGCGCUGGGCUGCUGAGAAGGCCGUAAGCAACAGCAAGUCUCUCACUAUGAGCAAGAAGAGCUUCCUCCUUGCCUUCUUGGUCUAUGUCAUGCAACACAAAUCUGGUCUCUGGCACAUAACCAGCCUCUUUCAUUUGUGCCUUCAAUCCCCUUAGUUUUGCGUAGAUCUUGUCAUUCUCAGGAUGAGAUGUAUCCCCCGCUCGAUAUUCAUGGACCCUGCUCCUAACCUCUAAAAGAUUUUGACUGGCCAAUUUCUUCUUCUCUUUCUCUUUCUCAAGGUCAGAAGCUUUCACUGGUACAAGGCCUGCUUUUGAUUGCUCAGUUAAGCGGGAGGGCUCCAGAUGCUCAACAAGCUCAGCACAGCGAUCCCCAAUUUCCAUAUUCCCUUGAACUCUACAUAUAUUCAUCAAGGUUUCCCAGACAUCGACACUUGGCUCUAGCGGCAUCUUCUCAACGAACUCUAGUGCUUCAUCCAAGUACCCUGAAUUACCCAGCAUGUCCACCAUACUCGCAUAAUGCUUCAUUGAUGGAACAAUGCCAUAAUCCUUGCUCAUUGAAUUAAAGUGCAACAUCCCCUCAAUGACAUCGCCUAAGACACUGCAGGCCAUGAAGACCCCAAUAAACAUUUGACCAUCGGGUUUCAGUCCUGAUUCCUUGAAUUGAAUGAACAGAUCAAUUGCCUCCUCUCCAAGAUCAUUCUUAGCAAACCAUGUUAUCAUGGUGUCCCAGGAUGUCAAAUUGCGCUCUGGCAUUUUCUUAAACACUGCAUAUGCAUCAUCCAUGGAACCACAUUUUGAAUACAUCUCUAGGAUCCUGUUAUAAGUACUCACUUUGAGAGGGGAUACUGAUUUGAUAAGGCUCUCGUGAACAGCUUUUGCUUCUUGUAGUGCUUUAGCCUCCCCACAUGCCUUCAUUAACCGCAGGUACCUGGGCAAAUCCACAGGAGUGUGCUGCUUCUCCAACAAUCCCAAAACUUCUAUAGCUUCCUUUACUUUUCCAUCCUUGCAGAAAUCAUCCACCUCCUCAAGAGUGCCACUAUAUUGGCUACUCUCUGCAGCUUCUAAAGACUCUCCAUCUGGUUUGUAAUUACUUGAUUUUGGAGAACCCACCAUGCUAUUCUGAAACUCAUUAGAGUUUGUUUGAUAUUGAGCAACAUUUGGGUUCUGCUGAUAUUGAGCAACAUUUGGGUUCUGCUGAUAUUGAGCAACAUUUGGGUUCUGCUGAUAUUGACCAAUAUUUGGGUUCUGCUGAUAUUGACCAACAUUUGGGUUCUGUUGAUAUUGACCAACAUUUUCUCUAUAGUACAUAUUCUCACUUGGCUGAUACUGCUGUAGAUUUUCUCUAUGAUAUCCACUUGGGCUCUGCUGAAAUUGCCUGAUAUUUUCUCCAUAAGUCCUAUUUAGGUCUCCCAGAGUCUCCGAUAUGAUCUGUUGACAAUUCCCAUUCCGAUUCUGAUUCACUUCUGCUCGUCCCUCACUGUAAUAUGAGUUCUGUACAUUUCUGUUUUGUCCAUAAAAGUCAUUCGACUUUUGCAAUGAUUCUCCAUAAUUUUGCCCACAAUACCCAUUAAUAUUUCCACUUUGCCCAACUAGGUUCUGCUGAUAUUCAUUUAUAGUGCUUUCCCUACAAAGCUCGUUCUGAUUUGCCGGCAAGCCUCCAGAACCUUGCCUAUAAUUCCUACUAAAAUUUCCACUCUGGCUAAAUGGGUUCUGCUUAAACUCGUUUCUAGCAUAUUCCCUGUAACCUCUAGGAUUUAAGUCUUGAUGAACUUCGGAAGAGUUCAUGGAGUUUCCUCCAUAAAGCCCAUCUGGAUUUUGCUGCAAAUCCCGGAAAUUUUGUCCAUUAUACCCAUUAAAAUUCACAUUUUGCCCAAUAGGGUUCCUGUGAAAUUCAUUUCUAAGGUUUUCCUCAAAACCCCCAUUAGGGUUUAUGCUUUGUUGAGCCUCCACAGAGUUGCCUCCAUAAAACCCUUGUGGGCUUCCGGAAAAAUACCCACCCGGGCUUUGCCCAUUUGGUUUUUGCUGAAACUCUAUAUGAUUCUGAUUGUCUGCGUCAAACCCAUCAGGGUUUUGGUGAUUCUCUGGAGAAUUUUCUUUUUGAAACCCGUUAGAAAUUUGAAAAUCGGCUCUUUCAGCGGCAGUACUAAGAUUCUUCAAUAAAGUUAGGGUUUUAGAUGAAGCCGAGGAGGAGUUGGGAGAAGGACAUACCUUGGAUAAAGCAGUGAGAGAGUUGAUUGUAAGAAGCGUAGCUCUCUUUGCGGACAUUGUUUACCUGUCGUGGUGAGAUAAUUCGAGAGGAGAGAGGUUCAAGACAAUGGAGAGACAGCGGAGGAGGAAAGAAACCAGAGAAGUUAAACCCGUUGGCUUACAAACCUUAAACCCUCGCAACCAUUGGCCGCCAAUGAACAGUCUUGGGCCUAAAAUUGGCUUUUGAAUUGGGCCCACUGUUAGUUGACAUCAGGUUCCCAUAACUCUUUGCCUUUGACACCUCUUUUCUCAAAAUGCUAGAUGUGAUCCACGUGCAAGCCAUAUGAGCUAUUAGUUAAUAAAUUAAUAUUAUCUAAAUUUUAUUUUAAUUAGUUGGUAAAUUUUAUAGAAAUGUAAUUUUUAAAAAUUAUUAUAAAAACAAUAUAAAUAUUAUUAGUUAAAGAGAUUAUGAAGCUCCACCUAUUCCAUAAUCGAAUGUUUUAAUAACAUAUAUCAUAUAUUAUUAUCAUAUGACCGUAGGUUCAUGGUGAGACCUAAUGUUGACAUCUUUUUGUAUUUUGAAAGGGCUUUAAUGGUAAUAUAAUUGAUUCAAGGGUGAUAAUAUAAUCUGAUCUUUAUCCAAUGAUUAUAAGGGGCUUCUGACAACUAUUUUUAUGAUACAAGAGUAAUAUUUGAUCAAAAAUCAAUUUAGAUGCAAUUUAAUGGCUAUUAGCGGUUCCUAAAAAUUAUACGACCUCCAAUUUAGAACAAAAAUUUCCUAUAAAUACCUCAUUCUCAAUUCAAUUAAAAUCUUUUUUAAUCUUAUAGUGAUCCUUAAAACAUUAAGACAAAACAGGAGAGAGGCUGAAGUACGUAAUUCUAAGCUGCCUUAAUGUCAAAGAUAGGAAGCUAAAAGAGAGAAGUCUAAGGUAGAUCAUCUUAGGCGGACCACCAAGUGCAAUAGUUUAGUAGUUUCAAUGGGAAGCAAACCGAACAAGAGAAAGAAUUUCGAUCUUCGAUGCAUUGCUACCUUUUAUUUUUUAGGAUUAAUUAAUUAAAAGGGACGAAGAGAUCCCAAAUUUGUAAAAUUAAUCUCUCUCAUUUUUUAACUUGAAAAGUAACUCAUUUUUAAUAUAAAUAUUUUAAAUCUUUUCAUUAUUUACACGUGUGUUUUAAAAAAAUGAUUAUUUUUACAAAAAAGAAAAAAAGAUGAAGACAUUUUUAUCAAAAAUUGGUAUUUUUUAGGUUGAAAAACAAGUAAAAUGUUAGUUUUGUAAAGAAGGGAUGAUUUCGGUUUUCCCAGCUUUUUAUCUCUCAACUUUUAUAAUUUUGGGAUUUUGAUUGAAAUUGUAAAUCAAGACUCAACAAUUGCUUAAGAUAUUUUAUUAAAUUACUAACAUUAUAAAUGAUAAUUGCAACUCAAUUUAAAUUAUUUAAUUAAUAUAAUUUGGAUAUUUUUAAAUAAUUUAAAUUAUUGGAUUAAUUUUAAUAUUAGUUUCAAACCUCGAGGUGAAUGAAAUUAACCAAAAAAAAAAACUUUAAUAUGUGUGCUAUUGUUUCUUUUAUUAUUUUUAAAAUUUGUUGCAACAUUUUUAUUAGUUUUAGUCAAUUCUAAUCUAACGGAUAUUUUUUAUCUAAAUCUUUUCUUAAUAUUUCCAUGAAAACUAAUAUUUUUAUCAUUAGUUUUUAAAAUGUAUCAUACAUUCCAUAGAUCACGAAUCAAUUAUAAUUUUUAUAACAUUAAAUAUAGUAAAUUUUAUUAAAUAUCAUAUAUUUAGUUUACACGUAAACAUAUCUAGUGAUGAUACAAUAUAAAGAUGGAAAUAAUAUAUUUGAAAAAAAAAAUUGUUGAAUAAUCAGAUAAAAUAUAACAAAAUUUUAAUUUGAGAAGUGUAAAAAAAUAAUAAAUUUAAAUUAAAAGAAUUAGAAUGUGAAAAUUCUUGUGGUAAUGACUUUUGGAAUUCCUUUUAUAUGAAAAUUGUUUACUGUAAGUCUGUAAAAUAGUAUAAUUUAUUUACAAUAAGGAACACUAAUGUUAAACAUUUCAAAAUUUUGUUUUAUAGGUAACCAUAAAAAUAAAAUAAAAUAAUAAUGUAAUGUUUGUGGGUUGGCCCAACUCAACUCAAAUCGAGUUGGGUUCAAAUGGAGAAUUCACCACACCAAAUCUCAACUAGAAGACUAUCUAAACAUAAAAAUAAAAAUUUAUAUUAUAAUAAUAAUAAUAAUAAUAAUAAUAAUAAUAAUAAUAUAUUUAAAAUCGGGAACAAUUGUAUUAAAGGGGUAGUAGGAUGUAAUGCCUCUAAAAAAAUAUGAAAUAUGAGAGAUAAAAAUAUUUUUAUUAAUAGCUACAUGGCUCUUAUAGAAUUGUUCAAAUGUUUCAAUACACCUAGUUGUCUCCGAUCUUUGUUUGGUCUUUAAAUUUAGACUAUAUUGUCAAUUAUCCAACUGAGACAUCCAUGUGAGUAGAGGAAAAACUUUUUCUUAUUUGUUUCGUUUGGCUUUUGAAAAACAAAACAAUAGAUUUUUCAUAUCAUAAUCCAUGACCUUAGAUUUUUCUCCUAACUGUAUAAUCAUCCACCAUAUGAUAUCUAUUACUGUUAGAUCUCGCCUUAUUUAUCAACUUAAGAGUGUUUUCAUUUCGUCUUAUUUGUCAACUUAGAAGUUUUCUUUUCAACCAUUUUUUAGAAACACUUGUACCAACUUUUCAAUCUCUUCUUUGCUUUGUUUGGUUGUUGAAAAAAAUAAAUGAGAACGAAAUUUGAGUUUUGUGGUUGUUGUUUGCUUUGAUGUUCGAAAUCUUAAAACUUGAGCCAAAUUAUUGUUCUUUACUCAGUUUGAUAAUUUAGAAAACAAGAAGAAGAUUGAGAAUGAAAUUUAAGUUUUGUGGUUGUUGCUUUGGUGUUCAAAGUCUAAAAAUGUAAACUAAAUAAUUAUGUCAAUGUAGAUUUUUACUGAAUGAAUUAUGAUUAAAUAAUAGUUAAGGCUAAUGAACUAAAUAUAUAAGAGGUGUAUAAGACAAUUCAUUUGAAACGUAAAAAUAUAAAAAUUUAUAUUAUUAAUAAUUUUUAAAAACUUUAUUUUUUAAUUUUUUUUUAAAGAAAAGUCUAUUUAGAAACUUAAAAUAUUUUUAAUCUAUUUUAAAUAUGUUUAUAAAAUAUUUUUUAUUUGUAUUUUUUUAUAUUUAUAUAAUUAUUUUUAAAAUAAUUAUAAGAAAAUAAGUAAAAACAAUUAAAAAAUAUGGACUAGUUUAAUAAUUAUUUUUGAAAAUUGUUCUUUAAAUUUUAUAGAACAAAACUUUGUUUAAAAACCUAAAAUGUUUUUAAUAUUUUUAAAUAUAUUUUAAAAAUAAUUUUUAAAAAUAAUGUUUUACUUUUAAUUAUUCGACAUGUUUAUAUAAUUAUUUCUUAAAAUAGUAUUUACAAAACAAAUGAAAAUAAUAAAAAGAUAACUAAAAGAUCUUCUUUAAAAAUUUUCUAUUUUUUAUUUUUAGGAAUAAAAAAUAAAAAAUAGUAUUUAUUAGCCAAAUAUGUUUUCUGUGGUUUUUUUUUUUUUUUUAAAAAUUGUUAUAAAAAACAAUUCCCAAAUAUAAUAUAUUACUCGGAAACACUUUGUUUUUUGUUUUUAAAAUUAAAAACUCAUUUUUCGUUUGAAAUUCCUUUUAUUUUGUUUUGAAUCACAAAGGUUUUAAAAAAUAGUUGGCAAAAAUGGCUUUGGUUUAUGGGUCCAAUCACUAUCUUGUCCUAACAAUCUCCUUUUUGUACCAACUUUAGACAGACCACUUUAUCCCAUUACUUGGGUGCUUUUCAUUUUUGCCCAGGUUUGUUAUCUAGUCUUUGUAUUUGUUGGUUCGUGAUCACAGCAUUGAGCCAUUGAAUUUAAUUUUGCUUUUCUGUGUACUAAAGAUUCUUGGCUAAUUAGCAGACAAAACAUCAACUGCAAAUUCACUGGCCAUAAAAAACAAACAGUUGCCAGACUACCACCAAUAAUCAAAGAUCCUCUGGUUUGCGGCCAUGAUGGCUACCAGCCUCCUACAAUCACUAAAAUGCUCAUCAACUUUCUGGGGUUCUAUAGAAUGUGGCACCGGAUGAUUAGAAGACAGCUUUGUAAACAGAAGGAUGCAAGAGUCGGUAUUGCAGCUGCCAAACUGGCUAUGCCAUGAAGGAUCCUCGGGAUUACCGUCGGGGUGGUUGAGAUGCCCGCCAAAAUACCAAAAAAAUGGAUUAGAAGUGACAGAAGAGAAAUAUAAAGAAUGUUCAUACAGCAAAUUCAAUCCAUACUAUGACAUAUUUGAUACUAUCCUAGUGACAGCUUAUCGUGAGUAUCAAUCCAUGGGCGUACUAUAUAUUCAUAAGCCCAGCAGCUUGAUAUAAAUCUGCUAUUAGACCUGCAAUACACAGCGGUCUUCUUCCUCUUACUUCGUGGGAUUUUGCACUGCUCUCGAUACGAGCAUGGCUGAUACUUCUUUUCCUCCCAACUUACUGCCCGACGAGGCGAGCCCUGAAUGGAUGAACAAAGGCGACAAUGCCUGGCAACUCACUGCCGCCACUCUCGUCGGUCUCCAGACUGUUCCGGGGCUGAUCAUCCUUUAUGGAGGUGCAGUGAAGAAGAAAUGGGCUGUGAAUUCAGCUUUCAUGGCGUUCUACGCCUUCGCCUGUGUCCUUAUCUGCUGGGUGGGGUGGGGAUAUAGAAUGUCGUUUGGGACGAAGCUUGUUCCAUUUUGGGGGAGGGCUAAUGUUGCCUUGGACCAAGUUUAUCUCCUGGACCCGGCCUUUAUUGGGAAGUUCCCACAGGCGACGAUGGUGUUUUUUCAAUUCGUUUUUGCAGCGAUCACUGUGGUUUUGAUUGCGGGAGCCUUGUUGGGGCGGAUGAAUUUUUACGCGUGGAUGUUGUUUGUGCCCUUGUGGCUGACGUUUUCGUACACCUUUGUAGCAUUUAGUAUAUGGUGUCCAUCAGGUUUUCUCGCUAAGGCUGGGAUUAUAGACUACUCUGGUGGAUAUGUGAUCCAUUUGUCUUCUGGGGUUGCUGGCUUCACUGCAGCAUAUUGGGUAUGGAGGAACCCUAAUUAACCAACCAUAUAUCCUUCUGUUUUUCUUUUUACUCUAUCUGAAAUGAUUUGUGUGAUGUCCUAUACUUGCAGGUUGGUCCUCGGCUAACCAAGGACAGAGAAAGGUUCCCUCCUAACAACAUCCUUCUUAUGAUGGCUGGGGCAGGAUUGCUGUGGAUGGGUUGGACAGGGUUCAAUGGUGGGGAUCCUUAUGUAGUGAGUGUCGAUGCUUCGUUGGCCGUUUUGAACACGCAUGUGUGCACUGCCACUAGCCUGCUCACAUGGCUAAUCCUCGACAUUGCGGUCUUUGGAAAAGCUUCUAUAAUUGGUGCAGUGCAAGGCAUGAUCACUGGCUUGGUUUGCAUCACACCUGCAGCUGGUAUUCCACUGACCUAGGCCUUAAUCUUUUGUUGCAAAUAUGUUCCAUGAUAAACUUCAUUUACCUAGACCCGUGACCAUGUUUGGAUGACAUGAAAAUGAAGACAUUUUUGUAAAAACUUACUCUCAAUGUGUAGAUAUUGUCUGUUUUGGGUCCAAUAUGUCUACAUGUUAAGAGGAGUCCAUAUAUACAUAGUGUUAGAAAUUUUUUAUCUCUAUUCGAUGUGAGAUAUCACAAUCAAUCCUAUGCAGUCACAAUAUCUUUGUUAUAUUUCAUAGGAUUGUGGGAUAAAAAAGACGAACAUCCAACUCAAGCUAAACAAACUCUUAUAUGGAUUGAAGAUCGGUUCUGAUACUAUUUAUAAUAACCCGCUCCCAAUUGUGUAGAUAUUGUCCGUAUGACCUUAAAAUGUAUUAACAAGAUCAAAAAGAACUUACACAUAUAUAGCAACAUAAAACAUUAGACUAGGGAAAAAUUUUCUUAUGUUAUAUGUGUAUGCGCUCCUCCUAGUCUUGUUGGCACAUUAUAAAGUCACGUGAGCUUAUUGGACUCAAAGGCAGAGAAUAUCUACAUGGGAGAGAGAGUUAGUCAUUACAAUUUUACAUUUUAUAGGAAAUUUAGCUCCAUAUGUUGUGCUUAAAAUGUGAAAAUUAAAGCAUACUUACAAGAAGUUAUUUAUCUUUGAUUUAGGGGUUGUACAAGGAUGGGCAGCCAUAAUCAUGGGGAUUUUCUCAGGCUCCAUUCCCUGGUUCACCAUGAUGGUUGUCCACAAAAAAUCUGAGCUCCUUCAGAAAGUGGACGACACAAUGGCUGUUCUGCAUACUCACGCCAUUGCUGGAAGCCUCGGAGGAAUCCUGACCGGUCUAUUUGCUUCCCCAAAGCUUAACCGUUUGUUCUAUGGCUACGGAGUUGAUGUAGAUUCCACUUAUGUUGGCCUAUUUUAUGGUCUUCACAUGGGAGAAGUCAGUAAGGGAUUCAGGCAAAUUGGAAUUCAGCUUCUGGGGAUUGUGUUUGUGCUUGUGUUUAACGUCAUAGCCACAAGCCUAAUAUGUCUUGUGGUGCAACUCAUCGUGCCCCUGAGAAUGUCUGAUGAAGAUAUGGAGAUUGGGGAUGAAGCAGCUCAUGGGGAGGAGGCCUAUGCUAUCUGGGGUCAAGGUGACAAGCUUGAGAACUCAAGGUAUGGGAGUUCAGUCUACGGUGAUGUUGAAUUGCCUAUGCCCAAGCCCAGGGGAGCUGGCCAAGUUGAGAUGACAUGAGACAUGAGAAUGUGUUCCAGGUUUUCGGAAAUUGGCAGACUUGAUCGAUUCAAUAAGAGCCCUUAAAGUAACUUCUGUAUCUGUGAUGUUGCCAAAUCAAUUGAUUGAACUCUGUUUACUUCUUUCUGUUUGUGCUAAGAACUUGCAUGAAUCCUAUUUAUAUGUUCUUUCUUUGUAGCCUUGUUCUUGAAUGAAGUUCCAAUCUCAUUUGCCUUUUAUUUUGUCAACUAAUAAGAAUCUUGAAUAGGGAAGGUCUGAAUUGGUGUAAGUACCAAAAAGGGUGGAAGUUUUGGUAUUCCCUGCCCGCCAAAUGGAAGUUAAGCUUUGGGGCAAUCUGAAGGAAGGUAGCAAUCUUUUCAGGGUUGGGGAAGGUUGGCUACCAAGUACCAAGCAUGGGAUAAUGUCCCAACUAAGGGCCAUCAAGGCCAGAGUCUUGGUGGCUGGUGACCAAAAAUGAAGCAAGGGUCCUUGCAAAAAGGCGCCUACCUAAUGGAUAGUGUGGAGUUAGGAGUCUUAGGACUAACCCAAGAAUAGUCUUAGGACAUGCUCUUUUCUUCCUUGUCUUUAACUUCAAUGAAAAAUUAAAAUCAUUGUCACAAUUUUUAAAGGAGGUUAUUAAUAUUCUAGAAGUUUUAUUAAAUAUAUAAAAGAACUUAGGUUGGGUUUAACAAUAUUAUUAUUUGAAGUGCUAUUUAAAGAAUCACUAUAAUUUUUUUUAAGAAACAUUAUAAACGAUUUUUCAAAAAUUUUCAAGAGUAUUUUUUUAAUUUUUUCAAAUACUUAAGGUUUUUUAAAAGCGUUUUUUUUUUGUUACUUUUUUUUUUUUUAACAUAUAAAAUAUUUGAAUAAAAUUAACCAAAUAAGUAUAAAAGCUCUCAUCCAGCGAAAAAAAUAGCUUUUGACUUCUUAUAAGAAGAAAUUUUUUUAUUUUUUAUAAAAAACUAUUUCAUAUUGUAUAAUUAAUAUUAUUAUUAUUUAUUUCAAUUUCAAUUAAAGCUAAAAAUAAAAAAAAAUCAAAGAUAAUUCAAGAAUCAAUACCAUAUUAGAUUAUAAAAAUAAUCUUGAUGUUUUUUUUUCUAUCAUUUUUCCAUGUAGCAGUUGAUCCAAGCAUAAAUCAGAACAUGGAUUAUUUAAUUAAUUAAUUUAUUUUAGAUAUUUUAUUUAAAAAAAUAUGUAUUUUUAUAUCUCAUAUAAAAAUAAUUACUAAAUUGAAUCUUUUAAAAAUAAUUUAAGUUUUAUAUAUUUAUUAAUCAACGAUAAUAUCUAAAAUAAUUAAAAGUAAUACUUAUAUAAUUAAAAUAUAGUAUUUAAAUGGUCACAAAUAAUAUGAAAUAUUAAUUAUUUUUGGAUAAUAAUUUAAAAACUAUAUUUUAUAAAUUCGGUUCUAUUUUGUGAUUUGUUUUUAGGUAUGGGGUGGAAAAAAACACUUUGCCCUUUUAUUUUUCUUCCAAAUAUAGAUUAGGGUAUCAAACGUAAUAACUAAUAACACCACAUCAUCUAUUUUUGACUGCUAGGGGACGUAGACGUGGCAUCAUCAGGUGGCACCACUCCAUCAAGAAACGCAGAGGGCAAUCAAAGUCAAUUUAGUAAAAUUUAGGGGUGGUUUAGUAACUUCGUUCACCAGUGGAAGCAACCAGGCUCGCUUUAAAGUCUAGGUUUUUCUUCCAAACCCUUUUCUCUCUCAUCGUCACAUUUUCUGUGGAGGACAGCUUCACAGCGUCUCUGAGGUAUAACCCUAGGGUUUUUCUCUCUCUACAACUGUCUUUCUCUCUUGGUUUUUUUUUUUUUUUUUUUUUUUCUCAAUUUCUUGUCCCAUGUUUUCAAUGUACCACUGCUUUGAUCCAACUCCACUUUCUCGCUCAACACUUCGCAAAUUUUUUUCUGUAAUUUUUCUUUUUAUCAUAUUAUAUUAUAUAUAUAUAUUCGAAUUUGUGCAUGUAUAGUUCAUAUUCUGCAGCUGAUUAAUCUGAUAUUGCUCCGUAUGUGUAGUUGGUUUUGAUGCUGUAAUUAUCGGUUUUCAUUUACCAGGGCUUGUGAAGUUGGGCUAGGGUUUAGGGUUUGUGGUUUUAUUCAAUUUUGUAGUUUAUUACUUUCUCUUACUCGUGUCUAUUUAGAUCUAUUUGUUUUUUCUUUCAUUUUCUCUAGUUCGAAUUCGUUUGCUGAUCUUAAUCCUUGUCUUUUUUUUUUCUUUUUGAUUGUUGAUGCCCUCUUCAUUCAUGUUGGUUUUGAAAAAAAAAAGGAUGGUGAGAAUUUUGACUUAGUGUCUGCCUUUGUAUUGUUUUGGUCAUAUGGUUUGAAAGAAUGCUAGAAUAUUUUAGGAGAAGCUGAUUGAUGGCUAGGUGAUGUUGGGAUAAAAUACUUGCUUGGCUUAAUUAGGUCUUGGUGUCUAAAGAAUUUAUGCGGAAUGCUGCUCUUGUGUAUUUUGAGGGAUUAUAGGGCGGUAUACUGCCUUGAGACCUGGCUCAAGUGGUAAAGGUAGGGGAGAGUUUGUAGAAGGUUCCAGGUUUAAGUCCCAACGGGGAUAAAAGAUUUUACCUAUCAGAAAAAAAAAAAGAGGGCAGUGUACAGGAAGGUGAUCUGUGGUGGGUUUAGGUUGGGUCCAAACCCAUCAAAUUUGUUUUUCUUUAAUUUUAAUUUUGCUUCUUUUAUGUUUUUGUUGAACUCUAGCCUUCCUUUUUUACAUUUGUGGUUCUUUUCAACAAAAUUAUUCUUUUGUUUUAAAAAUAUAAGCAUUUUUCCUGCAUAGUAGACUCCAUAUCAAAUCCAAUUCUAUGCAAUCAAAUAUAGUGUAAGGCAUUGAUAAAAAAUGGAGGGAAAGAGUCCAAGACUUCGUAACAAAAUGGAGUACUAAGACAUUGCACAUCUUACAGGUUUGCUUGACUCAGUUUACAAUGUUCAUGUGAUGGAGGAAUGUUGUUCGUAAAUUAUUCAAAUUCAGGCAUAUGUCUUCACUAUCUUAAGACAUUCUGAACCAUGUCACAGUAUCUAUGACAUGGGUAUUUUUGUUCCACACAUCUUGAACUUUCUGUGCGAUGUAGUUAUUCUAUAUGCCUAUAACAGAAUUUUUUUGUAUGACAUGGGGUUCAAUUGCCUGACACUUUUGGAAACCUUGCUGAAAGUUGGUUGACAUUUUUUGUUGUUAUAGUUGAGCAAUGUUGCAUUUUUAUCUGCUACCAAAUUAAAUUGGUGGUGCUUAUUGACUCCUGUUUAUUGUGUGGUCAGGUCAUUAGUAGUGGUGUCUUGACUCUGUGAUAUUGGAAAACUAAGAAAAUGACCAAGAAGAAGAAUCCAUUGGUCUAUCUAGAUGUGUCUAUUGAUGGAGAUCCAAUUGAAAGAAUGGUUUUUGAGGUAUUGUUUUUUUUCCAAUCUGAUAAGUGGAACAUCAAUUGAGUUUCUUCUGUCUAGUUGAUUGUAUAUGUUUGUUAUUUGCAUUUAUAGUCUGUCUAUUAUUUUUUAAUCAUUUGCUAUCUUCCCCCAAAGUGAACCAUGAACAUUUAAUUGAUUUCCUGUUUUUCUUUUGGGGUGGGGGUUUGCAGCUGUUCUCUGAUGUUGCUCCCAAGACUGCAGAAAAUUUUCGUGCACUCUGUACAGGUAACAUAUAUGUGAACAAGUAUUUCUAAGAACUGCACCUUUCUUUCUCUAUUUGUAGCAGUUAUUUUUGCUAUUAUGAUUAUGAUACAUAUUAUAAUGUUGUGGUAUUUAAUUUGUGAUUUGUUCAUGAUUCUAGAUGCAUUCUCUGUUUUCCUUUUCUUGCAGAUCUCCUUGUAUGGAUUACUCCGUCUAAAUUUAUAAGUUCAUUUGGGAUUUCUUUCUCCUUUCUUUUGUAGGGCCUAAUUUUCAAGUGUGAUAUUCAUUAAAAAGAAUAGUUGUUUGAUUUCUUUGACUUGUAUUUUUCAGGUGAAAAAGGAAUCGGUCCCAAAACUGGAAAGCCACUGCACUAUAAAGGGUCCUUCUUCCAUCGCAUUAUCAAAGGAUCAAUGGUUCAGGUAUGUUUUUCAGACUCAUUUUUAUGCCAAGAUUUUGGUUCAUAGAUUGAUUCUGGUUCAUAGAUUGAUUCUGGUUCAUUUGCAUGUGUCCUUCAUUUUCUGGUUGAGCAUGGCUUAGAAGUGGUCUUUGUCUUUUAGUCAGUUACCCUUUUUUAUGCUGUAGGAUACAGGGCUGAUGGUCACGACUGCUUUUCUUGUGAUGUAGUUUUAAGGUUGUACUUACUGAGUUGUCCAUCCUCAAAAUUUUUACUAAAAUUCACCAUGCCUCCAACCCAGUUUCAUACGCCUUUUCAAUUUGUUGCUUACCUAUGGAUUAAUGGUUGAUUUUUAUUCUGCAGGGUGGCGAUUUCCUUAGACGAGAUGGUAUGCUUUCUUCACUUGUCUCAUCUGAACUCGAGAAUAGCAUCUUUCUUUGUGUUUGUGUAGCAAAAUUAACGUAUUGGAAGGGAAACUUGUUAAUGUCUGGUAAUGUGAUCUGAAUUCGAAAUUGGUAGGGCACUGGCAUUUUUUGGUUAUCAGUCUCAUUACUGUAAUCUGUUUGGAGAAGAAAUCAGGUUGUGAGAUGGUAUGAAAUGGCUUCAUGGAUUUUUUGGGCAUUGCCAAUUGCUUAAGUAUGGUGAUGAUGGACAAUGCAAGGAAACCACUUUGAAUUGGAACACAUGUAGUCUCUCAAUAUUUUCAAGGCUGGUGACUGACAGAAAUGGUGAAGCUGAUAUAAAAGCUCUUUUUUGUUUUCCAGUGUCUGUUAUAACCAUUGCACCUGUUCUUAUUUCUGGAAUGGGAAAGCAGUUGUUUGCUGAACCACCUUGACCAGAUAUGAUAAAUAAUUUAACUCUCUUUACUAGAAUUUGGAGUGAACAAACUAAAUAUCCAAUUAACAUUAUCCAAUACCACUUCAAUAAUCAACUAUAGUUGAAUUGAUCCAUGCCAAAUUCUAAUCUAUGUACCAUUUUUGGAGAAAGAGCAACCUCAAUAACAGUGAUUUCUUGUAUAGAUCUAUGACACCCAUUUCCCCUCCUGUUAAAGUUGCUUAUUUCAGGCUCAUGUUAGUUGUGAUUUUCCUGCCACUGAACACAUGCCUUCGGCAGUCUGUCUCUUUUGUUUGUGAUUGUGCAUUUGUAAAGAGAGGAAUUUCAGGAUUUCAAGGGAUUUAGAAGUUCCAUUCCCCAAACUUAAAAGAGCUCACCUACUCUGGCUGUAGUCUACACCAGUGGCUGCCCUUUAUGGCAGGAGGCAUCCUUUUCUAGAUUUUCAUGUGUAGUUUGGGUUGUUCUUGUGCUUAAGGAACGUUGUUCUGUUUAUGUUUUUUUUUGGGAGAAUUCAAAGCAGGCUCUUUGUGUGCCCUGCACUCCCUCUGGUGCCUUUUCUUAAUUUAUUCCUUUAUCUAUAAAAAAAAUGGCUAGUAGUUGAUAAAUUUGUUUUUUUAAUAAGGUUCCAUAAAAAUUAGUUGGACUAGGGUUGGUAAAGCUACUUUUUUUUUCUCCUGGGAAAUUUAACCCCAAUAUAACUGUUUUUCAGAAUGUACUUCACUAUUGGUGCCACGGCUAUGAUUAGUCUAUUUUUGCCACUAAAUAUAGGGAAACAGCCAUAACUGUGGAUAAUGAACUAGCUAGGCUGUUCUUCACUAUGUGCUCCUCAAAAUACCUCCCCCCCUUCCCCCACCCAAAAAAAAAAAAAAAAAGAAAAGAAAGAAAAAACCAAAUGAACAUCUUUUGAGUGUAGUAGUAGUUUGAAUUGUUUUGUCCUAGAGGACUUGUGCUUUUGAGGCUUGCCUAAGCUUAGUGAAUUAGCCUUGAGGCUGUCACCUCAGUAAAGGAUAAGCCUCAUCCUAUUGAGGCUUACAACGUUGAGGUUGAAGCCUCAAAUAUCCAAUAGGUUUAAUGAGUUUGGUGUCUUUGUGGGCUUUUGGUAAAUAUUUGUGAGAAGUUUAAGCAAUAAUAUUCAAUUGGUUUUAAUGGGCUUUGUGCUUUUUAUAAGUUUCAUCAUGAGUUGAGAGUAGGUUGAACAUUUUACAAAAUAAGGGUUUAGUUGGCUUCUAUUUGACCAUUUCAAAGGAGGGGGAAAAAGAGAUUGAGAAGAAGAAAUAGAGGAUUUAUUGGUUAAUAUUUAUUUUGUUAGUGAUAAAUAAAGAAGAAUGACCAUUGGAAUUUAUGGAGGAAGAAGAAGAAUGGGCAGAUUUUUAUAUAUCUACGUAUAUUCUUAUUUGCCUAUCAAAAAUUAAAAAAAAAAAAAAAAGAAGAAUAGGCAAAUAUUAACAUUGGUGGGAAGGAUGAUAGGGCAAUUAGAUAUGAGUAUCUACUUGGAGGAUCCUAUUAGUGAUAGUAAUUAGAGUAUUGAAGACUAUUUGAUGAAACAAUAAGAAAAAGUUAGAUUUUAGAAGAGGGAAAUGGGAACUAAAUUAGAACUAUUGAUGACAAAGAGCUAAUUUUCUUAUUAUGAAUUUAUAGUUUUCUUAUUAUUUAAUUUUCAUGUGAUUUUAUUGGUGUUUUUUUAGGUUGAGGCUUACAUCUCUCCUCAUUUGGGGUAAUAUGCUUCAAAACUGCAUUUAGCCUUUUAAAACAUAGGUCUCCAUUAUUCUGAAGUGAAUCCUGCUUGACCAAAUCUAAGGUCUUCCUUACUCCUUUAAGUUUUAAAUAUUUGGUUAACAAUCAAGCAGUGAAUAUUAUUCGGGUAAUGAUUAUUUUUACCCUUCACUUGGAAAGUUAUCAUUUGGACAUAUAAGUGCCAUGGAAGUUCCUUGUUGGCUUUUCAUGUGCUUGGAAAUUUAUUUCUUAAAUAAUGUAUUUUAAUGAAAAAGGAUUGCUUUUUUUGUUUGGCAGG
RNAcentral lists this long non-coding RNA (56540 nucleotides) under Vitis vinifera (wine grape). RNAcentral describes it as "long non-coding RNA (VVIN_LNC000958)". The record is from RNAcentral. Lineage: Eukaryota; Viridiplantae; Streptophyta; Magnoliopsida; Vitales; Vitaceae.